RNAcentral lists this long non-coding RNA (49613 nucleotides) under Vitis vinifera (wine grape). RNAcentral describes it as "long non-coding RNA (VVIN_LNC002120)". The record is from RNAcentral. Lineage: Eukaryota; Viridiplantae; Streptophyta; Magnoliopsida; Vitales; Vitaceae.
UUGAAGGGCAGAUUCCUUCUUCUAUAGGUCAGCUCAGAAAGCUUCAGAUACUCGAUAUCCAAAGAAAUGCCCUGAAUUCUACAAUUCCAUCUGAGCUUGGCUCUUGUACUAAUCUCACCUUCUUAUCUCUAGCUGUGAACUCACUAUCCGGGGUGAUUCCUUCUUCCUUCACCAAUCUUAACAAGAUAUCCGAGUUGGGUUUGUCGGACAAUUUUUUAUCUGGUGAGAUCUCACCUUAUUUCAUCACUAAUUGGACUGGACUGAUCUCUUUGCAAGUUCAGAACAAUAGCUUCACUGGAAAAAUCCCAUCUGAGAUUGGCCUUUUGGAAAAGCUGAAUUACCUUUUCCUGUAUAAUAAUAUGCUGUCCGGGGCAAUCCCAUCAGAGAUUGGGAAUUUGAAAGACUUGCUUCAACUAGACCUUUCACAAAAUCAGCUUUCGGGUCCAAUCCCUGUAGUAGAGUGGAAUCUCACACAGCUUACUACCUUACAUCUUUAUGAAAACAAUCUCACUGGAACAAUUCCUCCAGAGAUUGGUAACUUGACAUCAUUGACUGUUCUUGAUCUCAACACUAACAAAUUGCAUGGAGAGCUGCCAGAGACAUUGUCACUCCUCAAUAAUCUAGAGAGACUCUCCGUGUUCACCAACAAUUUCUCAGGCACCAUUCCGACUGAACUUGGGAAGAACAACCUCAAGUUGACGCUUGUCAGUUUUGCCAACAACAGCUUCUCAGGAGAAUUGCCUCCUGGAUUAUGUAAUGGCUUUGCUCUUCAAAAUUUAACGGUAAAUGGAGGCAACAACUUCACAGGACCCUUGCCAGAUUGCUUGAGGAACUGCACGGGGCUAACUCGAGUCCGUCUUGAAGGGAACCAAUUCACUGGAGACAUUUCCAAGGCAUUUGGAGUUCAUCCAAGUCUCGUUUUCCUUUCUCUGAGUGGCAAUCGAUUUUCUGGUGAGCUUUCACCUGAGUGGGGGGAAUGUCAAAAGCUCACUAGCUUGCAGGUGGAUGGGAAUAAAAUUUCUGGAGAAGUCCCAGCCGAGCUUGGGAAGUUGUCACACCUGGGGUUUCUGAGCCUGGAUUCCAAUGAAUUGAGUGGGCAAAUUCCAGUGGCACUGGCGAAUUUAAGCCAAUUGUUCAACCUCAGCUUGGGUAAAAAUCAUCUGACAGGAGACAUCCCCCAGUUCAUAGGCACUUUAACUAAUCUCAAUUAUCUGAAUUUAGCAGGAAACAAUUUCAGUGGAAGCAUACCAAAAGAGCUGGGGAAUUGUGAGCGCUUGUUGAGCUUGAACUUGGGCAACAAUGAUUUGUCCGGUGAAAUACCUUCAGAGCUUGGAAACUUGUUCUCCUUGCAGUACCUUUUGGAUCUCAGUAGCAAUUCGCUCUCUGGGACAAUCCCUUCAGACCUGGGGAAGCUUGCCUCAUUGGAGAACCUGAAUGUCUCACAUAAUCAUCUCACAGGGAGAAUCCCAUCAUUAUCAGGCAUGGUCAGUCUAAACUCCUCUGAUUUCUCAUACAAUGAACUGACAGGUUCAAUCCCAACUGGCGAUGUCUUCAAGCGGGCAAUUUAUACUGGAAACUCGGGUUUGUGUGGAGAUGCAGAAGGAUUAAGUCCUUGUUCUUCAAGUUCCCCAAGCAGCAAGUCAAACAAAAAAACCAAGAUUCUAAUUGCUGUCAUUGUUCCAGUCUGUGGCCUCUUAUUACUUGCAAUUGUUAUUGCUGCAAUUCUUAUACUUCGAGGGCGAACUCAACACCAUGAUGAAGAGAUCAAUAGUCUAGACAAGGAUCAGAGUGGCACACCCUUGAUUUGGGAAAGACUGGGAAAAUUCACAUUUGGGGAUAUUGUGAAAGCCACUGAAGACUUCAGCGAUAAGUACUGUAUUGGAAAAGGAGGAUUUGGGACUGUUUACAAAGCGGUAUUACCAGAGGGUCAGAUUGUUGCGGUCAAAAGACUCAAUAUGUUAGACUCCAGCGACCUUCCAGCAACAAAUAGGCAGAGUUUUGAGAGUGAAAUUGUCACUCUGAGAGAAGUUCAGCAUAGGAAUAUCAUUAAACUUCAUGGGUUCCAUUCCAGGAAUGGAUUCAUGUACUUAGUGUAUAACUACAUAGAGAGAGGUAGUUUGGGGAAAGUACUAGAUGGGGAGGAAGGGAAAGUGGAGCUGGGGUGGGCCACAAGAGUUAGGAUUGUGCGGGGAGUGGCUCAUGCGCUUGCUUACUUGCAUCAUGACUGCUCUCCACCCAUUGUCCACCGUGAUGUUACUCUGAACAAUAUCUUGCUGGAGUCAGAUUUUGAGCCACGGCUCUCAGACUUUGGCACAGCGAGAUUGUUGGACCCGAAUUCAUCCAACUGGACUACAGUUGCAGGGUCUUAUGGCUACAUUGCCCCAGGUAAACUUGAGAUAAUUUUUAUCCAUUUUGUUUUAUCUUAGUUGAUCAGAAUGUGUUAUUAGGAAGCUAAUUUUGUUUUCUUGAUUUGCAGAGCUUGCACUUACAAUGAGGGUCACGGACAAGUGCGAUGUGUAUAGCUUUGGGGUGGUGGCAUUGGAAGUGAUGCUGGGAAGGCACCCAGGGGAGCUCCUACUUUCAUUGCCUUCUCCAGCAAUAUCUGAUGAUUCAGGGUUGUUCUUGAAGGACAUGCUAGAUCAGAGGCUCCCAGCUCCCACAGGCCGAUUGGCAGAGGAAGUGGUGUUUGUGGUCACGAUAGCCUUGGCAUGCACGGGUGCCAAUCCAGAGUCACGCCCCACCAUGCGCUUCGUUGCACAAGAACUCUCUGCUCAAACCCAGGCUUGCCUAUCUGAGCCAUUCCACACUAUAACCAUGGGCAAGCUAACAAGCUUUCAGAAGUAGGUCAAAUUGGUUUAACAUCCUUACAUUUAUAGUGGUUGGGUCUUAAGCCCUGUAUAGCGAGACAUAUUGCAAUGUUUGUAAUGUAAUAUAUAACUUCUAUUCAUUCAUUAGCAUUAUGUAUGUGUAUUGAUAGUUCCUUUUUCUUUAUUAUUUUGAUGCAUACUUAACCCAAUCAAUUCACAUUGUAUAUAGUUUGGAUGUAGGUGGAUACAUAGAGGACACAAUUGUGGGUUCCUUAUAGAUUGAUACUAUUGUUCACAAUGGUUCAUGAACUCAAGUAGUUGAAUAGUGUUGUGUGUGUGAUUACUACUCAAAAAGUGCUAUUUGAUAGCUUAUAAUUAACUCUUUUAAACACUUUUGAGUAGUAGUUAUCACCUUUUAACCCAAUUAACAUAUUAAGGACCCUUGCAAUCAAUUCUAAUCAAAUUGUGUUAAGUUUUGGUGUUUUGAUAGCUUUUUGAUCACCAAAGCAAUCCGAGAUUGAAGAGAGUUCUUUGGAAUCCUUGGCAAAAAUGUCCGGACAGGGCGUCCGGACACACCAUCGGAGGGCGGCGGAAUAUGGGCUGUAGCAAGGCUUGCUCACAUUAGUCAAUGAUCCGUACAACAUAUCCGCAUAGGAUAUGCUAUCGUCUGGAGUGUGAUGUUCACGAGUGCUGUGUGCUUCUCCCUGAGGGAGUCCGGAUAGCAUGGCGGCGCAUGUCCUUUUGGGGAAUCCGGAUGGAGUUGCGCCGGAUAGCAAUGCGCGCUCCGUGUUAUCCGGGAGAGGGGUCCCUACACCUUGCACACGCAGACGGUCCCCCUUGCGACAUAGCUCCUUCCACCCGGGGGAAUCCGGAUGGAGUUGAUCCGGAUAGCCUUGCGGUGCGGGAUAUCUCACAUCCGGAUGAGAGAGGAGGACGUUUCAACUGCUCCGGAUAGACAUGUCCGGAUCCUUUGAUAACGCUUACCCGGAUCACUCCAAGCUGAAGGCAGAAUGUUGCACACUACCACGGAGUUCUCCUGAAGCUUCCCGAUAUUUGUCACUUACUAAGUUAGAUUUUUCCUCUCAAGAUGUUUUGUGUAAAUUUCUAUUUUCUCCUUAUAAUCAGUCAAAGAUAUUAUUAGGAUAUUUCUUAGAAAAUAUCUUCUCUAUAUAUAUCUUUGAACCAAUGUAAAGAAAAGAUAUUAUAUAUAUAUGAAACCGACGAACAGAGCACUUGCUCUGUUUUUCUUAUUUUUGUUUUCUCGUUAGUUUUCUUUCUAGUCAAUCAAACUCUGAGGAUUUUUCCUCAGAGGAUGAGUGGCUAGGCUUUUCGUCUCUUGGAGUGAAGAAAGCUGGGUAAGUUUCCUCAUGCAUAAAUUGGAAGUUUUGUUGUUUUAGUUUUUAAUGAAGAGAAAGUGUGACCCAUUAAUGGUUUUUAUCUUUUUAGUUAACUUAAAACGCCUUUAAAUCACCUGGGCCAACACUUGAUAAGGCAAGUGAUCUCCAUCCAUUGAGAUGCACUUAUUUAUCUUUUGCGAGCCUUUGGGAGGUGGUUUAGAGGUAGGAUUUUCUAGAAUAGCCAACACUUAGUAAGCUUUUGGACUCUAAGGAGGCAUCCAUUAAUUAUCUCUUGCGAGCUUUUGACGGAUAAUCCAAGGUUAAGGAUCACCUUGAAUGGCAAAUGCUAGGUGAGAGGCAUGAGCCAUUACAAAGUGCAUCAGUGAGAGGGAUUUAGUGUUUGAACCCAUUAAAGGGAAGCAUCUAUACCACACCAGUUAGAGAAUUAACUAUAUGUUAAUUCUCUAAUGCGAGGAAAAUAAACAAGUGACCAGAACUCUCCUUUUUGUAUGAGGAACCUGAGCCUAGUGAUCUAAACUCCAAGAAACACUUUUAUUUGUAAGUAAAAUCAGUUACUAUUUUUGGUUAGUUUAAAAUCAAACCUUUUUCAUUUAAACAUUUUUAUGUUUUCUUUUAAAGCUAACCUUGAAAUGAAAAGGCACCAAUUCAUCUUUGGAUUAAUAUCAAUUGUGGAGUGAAAACCCAUCCCAGUGAACGACCCUAGAGCCACUAUGCUAUGCUAGCUAAGGCUAUCCUAGUAUAUGGUGUAAUAGGUUAUAAAUUUUGUUGAUUACUCCCUUUUGAGGACCAAAAUCAAGGGACACCAGCUGGACACGUAUCAAAUGGCACCACUGUCAGGGACCAUUGAGAGAACAUGAAUCAGCUGAGACACCAAUUGGGAACGAAUCAGUGUGCUACCUCUCAUGUAGGUGGGAUAACAUGUCUAUUGCUAUUUGAGUGAUAUGUGUUCUUUUAGAUACUAUUUUGUAGGAGUUUUUAACCUUGAGGCUUACUUGGGCUAGUGUUUGACUUAGUGAUCAUUUUGAGCCACAUUCGAGUGAGACCCACAUAGAGGUUAUAUAUUAUGAUGAUCUUGAGUGGUUGUUGAUUCGACAUGUAGACUGUGUAUACCUAAGAUGGACUUCAUAAUAUCUUGCUAAGGAUAAUAUUUUUCUUUUUAGUAAUUCUAAGGUGCAUGAUUAAGGCAAAUUCUUGGUCAGGGUAAUUUUACUUGAUUACUAGAAUUGAUGUUUUCUCCUUCUAGGAUAUGGGUUAACAUCAAUUGUUUUAUAAUGACAAAUGUGAAUUUCUAACACAAAGGUUAAAGAUGUAAUUUAUUAGUGGAUCACAUAUACUAAUUGAAUCAUGAAUAUGAGUUCAUGGGAAACAAAUACAAUGAUUAGUAGUUUGUGGGAAAACUAUUAACUUUAUGUAAUUAGAUGUAAUUAGUGAAGUGCAGUCAAUUGACUUUAAUGGAGUCAACCAUUGGUGCCAAUUGGUUGGAGCUUGAAGAGAGUGGAUAAAAGUAAGGAUUAUCGAAGCAAAAUAAAACUUAAAUUUGAUUUUUCUAUCCCUUAUCUCUUUAUAUUCAUUACUCUAUAUUUGUCUAAAUUUAUUGUGUUUUCCAAAAGUUUUGAGAAACCCAAUUCAUCUUCCUCCCGAGUGAUUUUAUUAAUUAAUUAGCUUUCAAAUUCACACUAUAUAUAAAAUAAGAUAAAAAAUGAAAUAAUAUAUUUUAUUUCAUGUUUGAUUCGCAAUCAAAUUUAAGUUAUCUCAUCACUUUCUAAAUUUUAAAUAUUUUAAUUGUGAAUAUUAUUAAUAAAGAAAUAAAAAAUUACACACUAAAUUAUAAUUCUAAAUAAUACCUGACAUGUGAGAUAUUUCAAUAUUCUUUAAUAAACUUUCAUUUAAACAAAUAUUACAUUUUCAUUCAAUUUUUUGGAGAUAUCAUUUCCAUUAAAUAUAAUAUGCACAUAUAUUAUGUCUCACUAAAAUGAUAUUUUACCAUAUAUAUAGUUAUCAAACAUGGCCUAAAAUAUUUUGAUAAGGAAAGACGAGACUAGUAAAGCCUUUUAAUAUAGCCCAAUCAAAGAUGAACAUAAAUUAGUAUUGGAGAAUUUAUUUUAUUUGAAGGCAUCAAUGAGGAUUUAUUUUAUUUGAAGGCAUCAAGGAGGGGGAUAGAAAUUUCAUUAAAUUAAAAAGAAGUCGUAAGCCUAAAUUUGGUUGAUGGGAUAUAGUCAUGACUUUCCUUAUCAAAUAAUGUUUAGUUGAUAACUAUUGUUUAAAAUAGUUUUCUAUUUUUUAGAAAAAAAAAACCACGAUUAACAAAAAAAAAAAGAACACUUUAAUAUUCUUAAAAGUAGAAACAUGGUGUUUUAAUAAAACAUCUUUAAUUUUCUUGAUUUUUUUCACUUGUUUAUAAGGAUGAUUUGAAUAAAUAGUUAUACAAAUACGACAAAUGAUUAACAAUAAAAUAUUAUAUAUAAAAGUUAUUUUAAAAACAUAUUUAAAAACAUAAAAAAUAUGUUACAAAUAUUUUAGAUUCUUAAAUAAAAUUUAAUUUACAAAACAUAAAAUGCAAGAGAACAAUUUUUAAAAAUUGUUUUUUAAAACUAUUUUUGAAAACACUUCCAAUAGAUAUAACCUUAUUAACUUAAUAGCACUCAAAGAUAAUGUAGGACCAACUAAGUCUGCAGAAUUGGAUAAAAGACUACUUCCAAAAGUAGAAAAACCAAAACAAGUUUUGAAAACGAGCCCUCCAAAAUUGUUAACUCUCAACUAUAAUGAUUCAACAAAGAUGAAAUGAUCAAGCCUUAAGCUAGCUUGUGUGGGAAGCCUCGCUCCACGUGUUCUUCCCAAGCUCAAGACCUUUUGGCUGUCCAAGGUAAAUAGAUAAUCCAUCUGGUCCAAGUUAAGCUUUGUUUGGUGCAAAAGGAGAGAUAGAUUUCCUUUUCCCCCAAUGCUAGACGAAAUGGACAAACCAAGUUGACCGGGACUUCCAAAUAGACAAACCAACCCAAUAGGAAAUUCUAGACAUUGGAUAGAUGAUUAAUCACACCCAAUGCUUGAGUGAUAAUCUAGAUGACAUUUACACCUAAAAAUCAAUGUCAAUCAAUCGUUACACGCAAUCAGCAACAUUGACAAAUGUAAAUGCAUAGUCAAGGAUAUGGUUUGAGAUUCUUGUACGACAACCAAUAAAUGACACCAAUCAACAAUUCUUGUUUGGUAUGAUUGUCUAUUCCGCAUUGAGAUGAUGGCAUUGACUACCUUAUUAAGGCUUAGUAUCCACCACGACGAUGAUCAUCAAUGCAAGAAAUACAUGAAUGCACAAUCAACGCUAUGACGAUGACUCCAUAUGUUCUAUAAAAAUCCCUUGAGAAGUAUGAAAAAUGUAUGCACACGUAUAGCCAUUCAAAACAGUUAGAUUCACUCUUGCUAGAUUCUAACUUAAGUUUCGGAGGGACGUGCUCGGACCACCUGUCCAAACAUCUUUUUGUGCGUGAAAGAAGUAUGACUAACUCUAAUGAAGCUAGACAGACCUGUAUCUAGUUGACACAACACCAAUAUUGGCAUCGUCUAUGGGAACCGACUAAGGAUGUCAACACCCUCCAGAAACCAAUCAUCAACUAUGGAUGAAAAAGAUUGUUUUUUCUGGUGCGAAACAAUGGAGAGACGCCAACGAGAAAAUGAAUGGUAGAUGUAGACUCUACAUCACCAAACGGAACGACUAAGAGAAGAGAAUGAAGAAUUGCGGGCUCAAAUGUCAAUAGUGGGCUUUUCUUAAAGUCAGCACACUUAAAACAGAUAAACAACAUCAAGACGAACUAUUGAGGCAUUUUUCCUCAAGGGCAAAGAGUUCUCCUCCGAUAGCUACUCGAGAUGAUCCAAGAAGGAGCCUUCGUCAGCUCAUCAAACGUAGCUGGACGAAGACACUAACUCCACUUAGGCAUCAAGGAAAAUGAGGUGUGGAAGAGGGUCACAUUUAUCUGACACAAUGUGAGUCCAACUAAGACCUCAAGCACCAGGCGUGGAGGAACCAUGUAUGUCAGAGACCCUAAGGGCAUGUCUAGGUCAGCUAACUACAACAAAUACAUUUGGAUGACCCUCUCAACUACCAAAGCAGCAGUAGGUGGAAGUAUCGGCGGUGCGAGCCCCUGCCUGACUCUAUCAGUCAACAAUUGGAUGACAUACUCUCCACGUCGUUUGACCCCCAUAUCAUUAACUAAGAGUCGCCUAGAGGGUUCGUAGUGCCCAAGUUCAUAAUGUACGACAUAACGAGCGACUCUUUUGACCACAUUAUGCACUUCAGGAAACUCAUGACCCUUGACAUAGGGAAUGAUUCACUGAUGUGCAAAGUCUUUCUUACCAGCCUACAUGGCUAAGCUCUCUCCUGGUUCCACCGUCUCUCACAUAAUUCCAUAAACACUUUUCGGGACAUCUCGGAAGCCUUUGUAUGCCAUUACCUAUGUUAUGCUCGCCAAAAGCAGAACAUAACCACCCUAUAGAACAUCAAGUUGCAGGAAAAUGAGACGCUAAGGGACUUCAUGAAGAGGUUCAGGCAAAUAGUGUUCCAAGUUGAAUCCUGCAGUAUAGUUGCCAUUCUGCAGAUCUUCAAGUGAAGCAUCAGCCCAUGCACGCCAUUUUUCAAGUCUCUUGUGAAGAAACUGCUUACAAUGAUGGAUGACCUGUUCAGGCGAGUAAACAAGUAUUCUAUGCUCUAAGAUGAUGUCCGACCAACCUCUCAACAAGUCUUGAUCACUAAUCAUCUGUCUAAGAAUGAUAAGACAAGGAGUUCUAAGCCCUUGAACCAAUCGAGGCAAGUUAAAAAGAGACGAGACAGCUGGCAGCAUCAUUAAGUGAGACUCACCCUCCUAAGCAUCUCUUAUGAAAGACUCAUCCCAAAAAUUUGUAACUUGUUGGGCUUCAAAUGGCCGAAGUAAAUAAAAAAAAAUUCGGCUAGAUGGGAUUGGAAUAGAAUAUGCUCCUACCAUAAGGAUCACGAUCACACCACCAAACAGUGCAAGAGUUUGUAUUACUUGGUAGAAAAACUUAUCAAUGUCAGGAACCUUAAGCAAUACGUUCGCACAACCAACGGGCAAAGAGAAGUGGCACUAGAGGUAACCGUCCAAGCCCCUGCAUCUCUGGCAGCUCCUAGAGUUGUCAUUAACUAUAUACACCAAGGUCCAAUAAAUGAUAAGCACAACUUUAGGCGGCAAAGAUGAAGGUUGUUUCACUCGAUUUUUGUAAGAGAAUGGAUUAACUCCGUUCAGCACACAUUCACAGAAGGAAGUAUGCGUCUAGUCGAUGGCAUAAUCACAUUCCCUCAAAUAGAUGUCAAUCAAGGUGUUACAACAGCAUGAAGACGCCUUGAUCCUAAUAUUGGGGGUAGAUGGAUUUGAUGUGCAGAUAAUCCUAGUUGAUUCGGACAGUUCAACUGACCUCUUGCAAAUGUUGACCUAUGGGCAAAUGGGCUACUUGCCAUCUACCCUAGAGAAUCUAGGACGUUUCCUGUUUGGAUUUAAUGAAGCUACAAUAACCUUUUUGGGUGAUGUUGUGUUGUCCAUCCAAGCCGACUUGGUCACACUAAGCAUGCAAUUCUCGAUGGUCGAUGAUUUGUCUUCAUAUAAUGCUAUUAUAGGACGUGCAUGGCUUCACAAAAUGAAAGUCAUUUCUUCUACAUACCAUCAAAUGGUGAGUUACCUCAUAGAUGAGGGAUAAGUCGAUCUCCAUGGCAGCUGGUUAGCCGUGCGACAAUGCUAUCAAGUGACGCUAAAGUUCGAACAUUCGGUCGGUAAAGAGGCGCAUUCGGAGCCAUCAAAUGCAAGAGAGCAAUAACAGUUAUUGAGUCCAACGAAGAAAGAUCCAUUUGCGGCUGAUUUGCUCCAAUCACUAUUCCUCUCACACGACAUAGAUCAAAUCACUUACACUAGUUCCUUACUUGCGUAAGAUGAAUUGGAACUGCUAAGGAAUAUGCUUUAGCACAAUAAAGACAUCUUUUCCUGGACUCAAUCGGAUAUAUCGAGAAUACAUUUGGUCAUGGUCUCUCACAAGCUUAACGUCUUACCCACCUCGCGGUUUGUUCGACAAAAGAUCCGGUGUUUUCAUUCAGACAGAUAAAAAAAUCAUCUAGAUAGUAAUUGACAAACUAUUAGCAGUUGUAUUCAUCAAAGAAUUCAAAUAUUCAGAUUGGUUGGCCAACGUGGUGGUAGUCCUAAAGAAAUAUGGAAGGUGGUGAGUCUACGUUGAUUACACCAACUUAAAUGAUGCCUACCCAAAUGAUAACUUUCUCUUGCCCCGAAUAGAUCAAAUAGUCAACGCCACCACCAGGCAUGGGAUGCUCUCCUUUUUAAACGUCUUUUCCAGAUACCACAAGAUCCCUAUGUUUCAGCUAGAUGAAGAGAAAAUGGUAUUUGUCACAACACAAGGACUGUAUUGUUAUAGAGUCAUGCUGUUUGGACUCAAGAAUGUUAGCACUACCCACUAGAGACUAAUGAAAAAAAUCUUCAAGCCCCUGAUCGGCCAAACUGUGGAAGUCUACAUUAAUGACAUUGUUGUAAAGAAAGAAACCCGAGCUGAGCACGUCUAGUACUUGGAAGAAGCAUUUUGUCUUAUGCGGGCAUACAACAUGAAGCUCAAUUCAACUAAGUAUGCCUUCGGCGUUAGUGUAGGGAAGUUUCUAGGGUUUAUCGUAACCUAAAGAGGAAUUGAAGUUAAUCCAACUCAAGUGAAAGUCGUCCUCGAAACACCCGCUCCAAGUAGCAAAAAGGAAUUGCAACGCUUCACAGGUCAUCUCACAACUUUGGGUCGUUUCAUAGCUCAUUUCAUAGAUAAACUGAGACAUUUCUUCAUCACACUUAAACAGGCAAACAUGUUCAACUGGAUAGACAAGUGUAAGUAGGCAUUUGAAGCAGUCAAAUGCUACCUCACUAAACCACCCAUUCUAAGCAGCCUCAAGUCCAGUGAAGAACUCUACAUGUAUUUGGCCAUAUCUGACUGCGUUGUCAAUGUCGUCCUAUUUCGGCAUAUACGAGAUAGGGAGUAGAGACUCAUCUAUAUGUGAGCAAAACAAUGGUGGAUGUUGAGACUCGGUAUUCCCAAGUAGGGAAAACUGCUCUAGCACUAAAGAGUGUUGCUCGAAAGCUUCGCCCAUACUUCCAAGUUCAUCAAGUGACUGUACUUACAAACCAGCCGCUCUGAGUCACCUUGCACAAGUCGGACCUAUCCGGAUGAAUGUUGAAAUGGGUAAUGGAGUUGAGUGAGUAUGGGAUCAAGUAUUAGUCAUGGUUAUCCUUAAAGGACCAGGUUAUAGCCGACUUUAUAGCUGAACUCCCUAAAAAACAAACACAUGCGAUCGACCGCCCUAGAAAGCAAUGGUAGACACUUCAUGUAGAUGGAGUGUCUAGGGUGUUUGGAUCUAGAGUAGGUCUGGUCCUGCAGUCACCAACAAGGGAACUAAUAGAGCAAGCUAUCCAUAUCAGUUUCUCGACUUCCAACAACGAGGCAGAAUAUGAAGUUGUGCUAGCUGGGCUAGAUCUUGCCCUAAUGUUAGCCGCAACCAAGUUGGAAAUCAGGAGUGACUCUUGGCUAAUUGUCAAACAGAUUCAACGAGAGUAUGAAGCAAAGGAUGAAUGUAUGACCGAAGCAAAGGAUGAAUGUAUGACCCAAUACCUCGCCAUGGCGGAAGAACACUUGAAAAAGCUAAAUGAGUGGAUCAUCACAUGGGUGCCACAAUAGGAGAAUAGAAAGGUCAACACAGUAGUUGGAAUAGUUGCCACUCUCCCCAUAAAUGAGACGAUAAUGUUGUCCAUCUACCUCAAAGUCAUGCCUUCAAUCACUCCCAGGCCAAUAUGCAAUACCAAUAAAACAGACUUAGGAUGGAUGCUCGACAUCAUAAAGUAUCUCUAGAUAGGGAAAGUACCAAAAGAUAGGAAGCAAGCACACAAACUCCGCAUACAAGCAACACACUUCACUUUAAUUAAUGAUCAACUUUAUAAAUGAUCAUUCAAAAGCCCAUACCUAAAGUGUUUGAGUGAGUCAGAGGCCAAGUAUGUCCUAGUCAAACUCCAUGAGGGUGUACGCGGCAAUCACCUAGGCAUAUUAACUUUGGCACACUGUGCCUACAUGCAAGGAUACUAUUAGCCCACCAUGAAGCAGGACACUGAAAGCUAUGUUAAAAGAUGCAAUUGUUGUCAACAAUACGCUCUCAUUCCCUGUGUACCUUCGAAAGCCCUCAACUUGGUCACAAUUACUUGGCCGUUUGCGUAGUGGGGGAUGGACAUAGUUGGCCCCUUACCCACUAGAGUAGCACAAAAGAAGUUUUUGCUCAUUGCAAUUGACUACUUCAGUAAGUGGGUGGAGGCAAAAGCCUAUGAGAGUAUCAAAGACAAAGAUGUCUCCAAGUUCAUUUGGAAAAACAUCGUAUGCCAAUUUAGAAUUCCAUGAGCAAUCGUAACGAAUAAUGGGCCCCAGUUUGACAGCACAGUUUUUCGAACAUUUUGCUCAAAGCUAAACAUUAAGAAUUUGUACUCAACACCCUGUUAUUCACAAAGCAAUGGACAAAUAGAGGCGACAAACAAAACCCUAUUGAAUGCAUUGAAGAAAAGAUUGGAAUGAGUGAAAGGAAAAUGGGUAGACGAGGUUUUAGCUUUGGGCAUUAGUCGUUUCACCCCUGUUUUGUUUCAUCGUUGGAAAACGAAGAUGAUAGAGAAUAUGAAGAUGAUGAAGUAGACGAUGAAGACAGAGUGGUAGGAGACAGAUUUCUUGCCUUUUGGAUGGGAUGAGCGACAUACUUCUUCUUCUAGACAGGAGGACAAACAAUGGAGUUAGAAGUCAAAUGAUUAAUAGUUGGAGAUUUCCUCAAUGUUCCCUCCUAACGCUUCUUCUCCCGUUUCUCUAGACGAGCCUGACGUGCUUCAGAAUCCACCAAACAAGCAACCUCAUGGAAAAACAAAUCCUUCAGCACAAAAUGUUCGUCAGGUACCAGAGACGAAGGAGCUAGCCAGGGAAACACUGAGAUGAUAAAUGACUUGGGAUUUUUUAUCAACACAUGCAGGUUCUUGUUCGAUAUGAGAAUGCUGUGAGCCCGUUUAAUAGCAUCUAUUUCAAACAACUUGUUAAGACGGACGAAUGAAACCUUCUCCACCCACUCUACAAGGAGUCCUCGCCUUUCCUUACCUACAUUAAACGAACAUAAAGAUCAUGAGUAGAUUAGCAACAAGGAGGAAAUAACCACAAGACGAAAUGAAAGUGAUAGAAACAUAGUCUACUCGAAAUCUUCUACGACCACUGUAGAGAAAAAACUUUGUUCGGGCCAUCAGACAAACUGCUCCAAGGGCUAGACACCAAAACAUGCCCCUUAGCCUACCUUUGUUCAAGUCUUGAAGAUUGGUCACCAACUAGAGGGAAGGAAUGUGGGCAGACAAGCUAAACCUCUUAUUUUGGCUCAUUUUGACUGUAUAGAUGAACACAACUUCCAACAUGGAAAGAUCUAACUGGAAAAGCAUGUACAACACACUACAUCCCAUCAGUAUUCGGGUGAUGUUUGGAUGAAGAAAGAUUGGAGAGAUUUAUGUGAAGUGAAGAAAUUGUUUAAAGAGGGAAGGAAGGGGGAGACAGAGCCUUACAACAAAAUGCUCCUUGGUAAAAUAUAUCAUGUUAUUCGGAAGGUCGACGGAUGAUAGAGCCUUGACAUCUAUUAGUUGAAUUGGAAUGGUAUCCGGAAUACAAAAACGAGCCCAAAAUUCUCACUCAAAUAGGACACCAACUGGACGGUCCGGUCUAAGGUGGCUGACUCUAGUAUUUUUCUAUCCACCUUGUUGAGGUCUUUCGUUGGCAGAAGUAACUCCUUGUUUGUCCAUUAGACUAAAUGGAUCUGGGUCAUGUGGAAACCUGUGCGAUCAACAUAGUUGUUAGAAUCAAUCACUCGACCCAUCCAUCGUUUGACGUUGCCUUAGUGACAUAUAAAUAAACCUAGAUGGACUAUAGUCAUAGUUUAGACAAAUUUAGCUGCCAAAACUUAUAGAACAAGCUCCUUCACCGAUGACAACAAAAAACGUGAGACGACGAAGCAAAUACAAUGACGACAUAGAAGCGAGCAGGGGGGUCGAAAAACGCUAAAUCUGGGCAUCAAUACGUCCAUAUCCUGCCCAAGAAAACAACAGGAGUGAUCAGAGAGGCUGAAAAGCCCAAAAUCUGGACAUCGGUAUGUCCAUUUUCUCUCCAAACAAACAAGACCAACACAAUUCGAGAAACAAUAACAAACACUACAAAUGAACAAACAGAUGGUAGAAAACUUACCAAAGUCAAGACUGAAACACUCUCUAGUGGAUAAGAAAUCCUUUGAUAGCAAACUUAUUGGCAACGACGAUGAAGGCAAAUGGGAACAACUAGUGGUAAGCAUAGUGAUGAUGAAAAAACAAUGCAUGCAAGAGAACACUAAGUGAGAGAAAACCAAAAGGUGAACCAAAUGGGUGGAACCUCACUAUUUAUAGGGAACAAAAAACCUAGGUAGCCUAAGAGACACGCCGUCUAGCAACACUUACCAAGAUUAGUGAAAUGACACAUCGCCUAACAGCCAGCCUUGGUCGAUGUGACCCAUCAUUAAAUCACCAAAUGACACGCAUCCCUUGGCACUCAAAAACUUGAAAAAACAGAUAAUUCAUCAUGUCCCAGCUCGUCAGCUACCCUAUCGGACAGAGGCAGACAGAUUAGGGGACAUUGUGGGAAGCUUUGUUGCACGUGUCCUUCCUAAGCUCAAGAUCCUUUGGUAGUCCAAGAUAAACAGAUAAUUUGUUUGGACCAAGUUAAAUUUCGUCUAGUGCAAAAGGAGAGAUAGAUUUUCUUCUUCCCUAAUUGUAAAUAGAAUGGACAAACCAAGCUGGCUAGGACUUCUAGAUAUGCAAACUAACCCAACAAGAAAUUUCAAGCAUUAGAUAGAUGAUUAAUCACACCCAAUGCUUGAGCGACGAUCUAGAUGACAUUUACACCCAAAAAUCAAUGUCAAUUAGUCGUUACACGCAAUUAGUGACAUUGACAAACAUAAAUGCACAAUCAAUGAUAUAGUAUGAGAUUCUUGCACGACAACCAACAAAUGGCACCAAUCAACAACUCUUGUUUGGUAUGAUUGCCUAGUCCGCGCUGAGAUGAUGGUAUUGACUACCUUAUUAAGGCUUAGUAUCUGUCACAACAACGAUCAUUAGUGCAAGAAAGACAUGAAUGCAUAAUCAACAUUGUGAAAAUGGUGCCAUAUGUUCUAUAAAAACCCCUCGAGAAGCACGAAAAAAGUAUGCGUGCGUAUAGCCAUUCAAAAUAGAUGGAUUCACUCUUACUAAAUUUUGACUUAAAUUUUGGAGAGGUGUGUUUAGACCACCUGUCCGGACAUCCUUUUGUGUAUGAAAGAAGUUUGAUUAACUCUAGUGAAGUUAAAUGAACUGUAUCCAGUUUGCACAACACCAACAACUUGGCUUCGUGUACUUGAGCCAACUCUUUCCCUUUUUCAUCAUUCCACUGCACUUUUAGCUCUGGCUUUCUCUGCCCUCUAGACAUUCCACCUCAUCUCGUAUGCAACAAACCAUUCAACUUUCCGUCACCUUCUACAAUAGCAACCUCUUAUGCUCGCCCCACCACUGAUGGUGCCUCAUUGCUACACAAACCAGUGUACUUGAAGUUGGUAUCCAUUAAUGCUGGAAAUGAACAUAGCCUUUUCUAUUGUCUCAGUUCACCAAUUUUCUAGGAAUGGAAAAAAUAAACCUUAAAAAUGGAAGAAAAUCCAUGAUCGUUCCCAGUCAUUGAAGGUCAAGAUCGGGUGAAUCAAAACCUUAAGGCUACAUUUGGUUUUUGGAAAUUACUAAGAAAAGAAAAAAAAGGCUAAGAAAAAUUAUUUUCUUAUUUGGUUUCAACAUGAAAAAUAUGAAAAAAAGAAGUUAAAGUAUAAUUAAAAUUAGUAAGAAAUUUAUAUAUUUUCAAAUUAUAUAAUUUUUAGGCAAAAGAGGAAAAAUAAGGAAAAUGAAUUUAAAGUAGCAUAUAAAAUAAUUUAUUAAUUUUAAAUCUUUUUUUUCUUCAUAUUUUAUGGGAAUGAACCAAAUAUAGCCUUAAUGUCUUGCGAAAGUAUAUGGUUUCAUUUACAAUAAAAGAGUUGUUUAUGAUCCUACGAAGAAAGAAAAUUACAAAUUAAUGUAAUUCCCUAUUACAUGGUACAAGUAUUCUUAUAGUCUAUUUGACAAUAAUUUUAAAAAGCACUUUUAGUCUAACAAAAUGUUUUUUUUUUUAAAUGUUUGACAAAAUUUAGGAAACAUUCUUAAAAAUCUAAAAAAUCACUUGUAUUGGAAAAUCAUAACAUUUUAUGGAGAAACACUUGAUGAACGAUUUUGUAUAAAUAUUUUUAGAAAAAAACACUUCUACUAAAAAAAAUUCGAAUAGAAACACAAUCAAACACACUCUUAGUAACUUCAUACAUGGUUCACAAGGUAAAGCUUACUUGGUUUCAAAUCAAAAUUUAUGAUAAUUAAUUUUUAGCUGAAUUUUAAUUUUAGUACAAAGUGGGUUCUAUUUAUUAAACAUAUAAUUUUUUGACAUCUUGUGAAAGAUUAUUUUUAUUUUUGGAAAUUUAAUUGUUAGAGAAAUUAACUUUACAAUUUUCCUAUUAAUAAAAUAAUUUAAAAAUUGUUCACCUUUUAAAACAACUUAUCUUAUUAAAAUGCUAAUAAAUUUUGUGUGCUUCUAAAUGAAAAAAAUCAAAUAAAACCCACAGCCAAACCCUUUGUAGAACGCUUCCAAAAUUGAUCAUAUCCUAUUGAGAGUUACUUAUGUACAACUUUAGCCCUAAGGCAUUUAAUGCUAGAACUGAUUAUUGUCCAAAUUUAGUUUGGAUGGUUGUUUUAUUUUAUUUUAUUUUUGGAAAAUUAGGCUUAAAAUAGAAACAAUAAAAUAUAAAUUUAAUGAUCUCAAAUCUUCCUAAAGAAAAAUGAAAACUUUUUUCUAAAAAAGUGAAAAUAAAAAAGGAAUAAAAUCACAUAAAAGAUUUAGGACUCAAAUAUAAAAGGAAUAAAAUAUUAUAAAUACCAAACAAAUAUCGUUACGCCUCAAAUUUUUGGUAAUCACUCAUGACUCUAGAUAAAAGAUUUGUCCCUAAGGUUACUCUUAUCUAAAUUAGCAAUCAAUCCUGAGAACAUGAUUUUUCUUGAACAAAUCUUCAUCAAAUCUCAAAUAAAUUUAUCAAUCUAAGAUUUAUGAAAUAAUUUUUUUUUUCUUUGUAAAACCAACCAUCAUUUAUUCACAAGUAUAAUUAAUCUACUAAUCAUUUUACUCCUAGAAUUCAGGGCGUUAUCUUGAUAAUUAACCUGAUUUUUUUAAAAAUAAAUUGAUAUCAAAUCUCAAAUAAAUUUAUUAAGCUAAGAUUUAUAGUAUGAUUUUUUUUCUUUAUCAAACCAACUAUAACUUGUUCACAAGUAUAAUAAAUCUACUAAUCAUCUUACUAAAAGUGAUAACCCAAAUAUCUACAAUAAUCUCUAAGUCCAAAAUAUUUCCAAAACUGUUUUACAAAAAUAACAAAAUAUGAUAUAAGUUACAAAAGUCCAUAUAACUCACUUUAGUACAUGUAAAAAAUGUAAUGUAAAUUAAAAACAACCAUUAUUAUUAUUCCUUUACUUUCUAGGAUUUUUUGAAACACUCCCAGAUUUUCUUAUUAUUCCUCAUAAAUUAUAUUUGUAUCUAAAUAUUUUAGAAAGUAAAGGGAUAAAGAUUUUCACGUUACUCAAUAGGGUGCCUUACACCCAAAUAGGUUUUUUUUUAAUACUUAAGUUAAUAUAAUACAAUCAUAUACCAAAAAUUUAAUAUUACAUUUACAUUAUAUAUAUAUAUAUAGAUAGAUAGAUAGAUAGAUAUAUUAAAUAAAACCUUAAUGUUGUAAAUUUAUAAAGUGAAAGGAGAAGAAAAUAAGAAAGAGAAAUUAGAACGUAAGAAGAGAAUGAAAUAAUUUCAUUAGAGGUGUCUCCCUUUUAUAGGGAGUCACAAAGAGAUAUACAUCAAAAUGGAUAAUCAUCCACAAGUUCCCAUAAUCCGAUAAAUUCUCAUAUUUUAUAACACUCCCCCUUGGAUGAUCAUAAGAAUAUGCCUCAUUAAAACCUUACUAGGAAAAACCCUAUGGGAAAAAACCAUAGUGAAGGAAAAAGAGUACAAUAUUCUUUUGGAUUACUAUAACUGCCUUGUUAAAAACCUUGCCAGUAAAACCUAUUGGGACAAAACCUAGACGAAAGAAAAAAGAGUGCAGUAUCCAUAUUAUCAUUCUCCCCCUCAUGUAAACAUGAUUAUGAUUUCUUCAACAUUUCAAAUGGUAGAUAUCUCAAUCUUCGCAUUCCAAUGUGAUACCUUAACUUUUUCAAUGUAGUUGAAGGUAACGCCUUUAUGAAUAGAUCUGGUAGAUUAUUGCAUGACCGAAUUUGUUGAACAUCGAUCUCACCUUUCUUUUGGAGCUCAUGAGUAUAGAAGAAUUUAGGGGAGAUAUGCUUAGUUCUGUCACCUUUUAUGAAUCCUCCUUUAAUUUGUGCAACACAAGCAACAUUAUCUUCAUGUAACACGGUUGCAUUGGCUAUGAUGGAAGGUAGUCCACAUGUUUCUUGUAUAUGUUGGAUCAUUGACCUUAGCCAUACACAUUUACGACUUGCUUCAUGAAUUGCAAGAAUUUCUGAAUGAUUUGAUGAUGUGAUCACCAUUGUUUGUUUGAUAGAUCUCCAUGAGAUAGCAGUACCAUUAUAAUUAAACACGUACCAUGUUUGUGAAUUACCUUUAUAUGGAUCUGAAAGAUACUCUACAUUUGCAUAUCCAAGCAAUUGUUGCUUUGAUUCCCUUGAGUAAAAUAGGCUCAUAUUAGUAGUUUGUCAAAGAUAACGCAAUAUAUGUUUGAUACCAUUCCAAUGUCUUCGAGUUGGAGCGGAACUGUAUCUUGCUAAUAAAUUGACAGAGAAAGUAAUGUUUGAAUGUGUACAAUUGGCAAGAUACAUAAGUGCACCAAUAACACUAAGAUAUGGUACUUUAGGACUAAGUAAUUCUUCAUUUUUUUUUGCAAUGACAAAAUGGGUCAUGUUUCACAUCAAGUGAUCUAACAACUAUUGGAGAACUUAAAGGAUGUGCUUUAUCUAUAUAAAAACGCUUCAAAACUUUCUUAAUGUAUGUUGAUUGAUGCACUAAAACUCCUUUUGGAAAAUGCUCGAUCUGCAGGCCGAGACAAAAUUUUGUUUUUCCAAGAUCUUUCAUCUCAAAUUCCUUUUUCAACUAAUUUGUUGUUCUUGUGAGCUCUUCAAGAGUUCUAAUAAGAUUUAAAUCAUCAACAUACACUGCAAUAAUUGCAAAUCUGGUUUCUAAUUUCUUAAUGAAGAUGCAUGGGCAUAUAGGGUUAUUCAUAUACCCUUUUUUUAGCAAGUAUUCGCUAAGACGAUUGUACCACAUGCAUCCAAAUUGCUUUAAUCCAUACAAGGAUCGUUGUAACUUGAUUGAGUACAUGCUACGAGGCUUUUUACAAUUUGCUUCAGGCAAUUUAAAUCCUUCAGGGAUUUUCAUGUAUAUAUCAUUAUCCAUGGAUCCAUAUAAAUACAUUGUAAUAACAUUCAUGAGACACAUAUCUAUUCCUUUUGGGACUGCCAAUUAAAUUAAGAAAUGAAAUGUGAUUGCGCCUGUGACGAGAGAGAAUGUUUCUUCAUAGUCAAUACCAGGUUUCUGCGAGAAACUUUAUGCUACUAAUCACACUUUAUAUCUUAUGAUUUCAUUAUUCUCAUUGCAUUUUCGUAUAAAUACCCAUUUGUACCCAACAGACUUUGCAUCCUCAAGUGUUUGGACUAUAGGUCCAAAAACUUCUCAUUUUGUUGAUAAGUUUAAUUUUGUCUGUAUAACUUCUUUCCAUUUUGGCCAAUCAUUUCUAUGUCAGCAUUCUUCCACAUUUCAUGGUUCAGGAUCUUCAUCAUUUCUUAUGGAGGCAACUUGGAAAAUGAAAAUAAUAUUAUUUUGAUCCCAUUUUUCUCCCAUGUAUACAUAACUUAUUGAGAUCUCACAAUCUUCAGGUACCUAUGCCUCUUCAGGGUCUUUUCAUUUAAUAUGUGCCUCUUCAAGGGCUUCUUGCUCAAUAUGUGCCUUUUCAAGGGCUUUUUGUUCAAUAUGUGCAUCUUCAAGGGCUUCUUGUUCAAUAUGUGCCUCUUCAGGGGCUUCUGCAUUAUUUGUGCCUCUUCUAGGGCUAUAGAUUUAUCAAUUUUAAACCGAUUAGUUAUUUUUUAUGGCCUCUUUUAGAGUGUUAAGUUUUUCUUGGGUUCUCCUCUUCUGGGAAGUUACAUCCUUUGAGCCGACAGGUCUACCAUGCUUCAGGCGUAUCUUAAUUAAUUUGUUAACUAUCCUACAGGGACAUCAAUCCGUGUUGGAGUAUUUGCAGUCGGGAUAUAUGACUUUGUUACUUUCUUUGUAUCAAUGAAUGCAUUUUGCAAUUGAUUUGCAAGAUUUUGUAAAUGAAUGAUCCUUGAACUUCUAGUUCACAUUGAUUUGUAUGAGGAUCAAGAUGAGGCAAAGUCAAUGCAUUGCAAAUAAUUUCACGCCGUUCUUUUGGAACUGGCUUUUCUCCCCCUAACGGUGGGAAAAUUGUCUCAUUAAAAUGAUAAUUUGCACAACAUGUCAUUCUACCUUUUAAGUAUAUAGGUAGACUAGUCACUAAAUAAAAACUUCUGGUUUUAUAAUGUACAUCCAUAUGACCUUUUACCCUGGGGCACCAAGUUGGUCUUACAAGAUUCUUCUGGAUCUAUCAUCGUAUAAAGUGUCAUUCCCAUGGAAUCAAAUACUACUAGUGACAUAGUAUAAGCUCUUCUGGAGCCUUUAAUUAGGUUUCUAUCACCUUAUAUAGUAUUAACAUUGUUUGUCAUCAAUGUUGUGCAAUUAAUGAGACAAGAGUUUCAUCAAAGUAACAAGUCAUAAGACAUUGUCAUAAAGACUUCUUCUUUAUAGAGUUGAAUAAAUAUUAUCAUAGAGAAAAAGUUAAAAUCAAUGGAAAAAUAUUAGUCAUCGAUGAUAACUUAAUAUGUUGUGUAAAAGUGAUGAGAGCAUAUAUAACACAAUAAAACAAAUAUCUAAAGAUAAUUUAAAGUUAUAUAUUUCAUAAGUAUCUCACACAUUUGAUUUUGUAAGUGUGGAGCAAUUUAUACAUGAAACAACUAGGAAGUAUUUCAAUAAUCAGACUAAUUGUAGUGAUGGAUCAAGGUAUGAGAGAGAUCCAUGUAUCUUCAAGUAUAAAUAAAGAAAAGAAUAUAAAUGAUAAAUAAUAAAAUGUGAAAUAAACUAUAAAAGAUGAACAAUAAACAAUGUGUUCAAAUAUGAUAACAAAAUUAACCUAUUUGCAAAGAACUAAAUAAAAACAUAACGUUUAAUCAUAACAAACAUUUUCAUCACCAAUUAUAUGGUCAAUUUCCCCAUUAGGAUUUUCAAAGAAAUCUGAAACAUCUAAAUGGGUUAGAUCUACUUGGCCAUCACUAUCAAUGAAGUUCAUUUCAACUUCAUUUCCUUUUAUUGAUGUUUGGUAAAGGUCGACCACAUGUUUGGGCGUACGACAGGUACGCGACCAAUGCCCCUUCAUACCACAUCUAUAACACUUAUUCUCAUGGUUCUUAGGAGGUUUAUCUUGUAAACACUUCCCAUUUUCUUGUUUUACCUUAGUAUUAUUCCACUUCUAGUGGUGCAAUGAGGCUUUCCUUUUCUGAGAAUUUGAUGAAUUUGCUACAAGAACCAUGAUAUCAGGGAUUUCUUCCACGACCACGUCCUUGUCACCGUCCACGAGUUUGGGACAAUAUUGCAUUCACUUCAGGGAAUGAUUCAAAUCUAGUUGGACGAGACUGGUGAUUUCUCAUCAAAAACUCCUUUUUUUUUUAAACCUUCAUGGAGAUGAUGACGAAGGAAAAUCAGUAUUUUUGCGCGAUCCUAUAGGGAUGCUUGAUUUCCUUCUUUGAUCAUAGCUCCAAGAUUCAUUGACAAUUUUGUUUUGAAUAACUUCUUGUUAUACAAGAGAAUUAGAAAUUGUAUGCAUAACUUCUGGUUAGGAAACAAUUGUUAAUAGAAAUUGUUUUCCAUAAUUCCUAUUGUGAAAAAUAAGUGAGUAUGAAAUAAAAAUUAAAAGUCAAUAUUUUUCAUAACUUUGAAUUAUGAUUAUUUUGUCAAAAUAAGAAAAUAUUCAAAUUUGUACAUAGGUUCAGGUUAUGAACUAUUUAUGUAUAACUUCUAGUUACACAAAUAAUUAAAAUAAAUUAAAGAAAUUAAAAGUUAAUAUAUUUCAUAGCUUCAGGCCAUGAUUACUUUGUCAAAACAAGAAAAUAUUUAAAUUUGUGCAUAGCUUCAGGCUAUGAACUGUUUUUUUUAUAUAAAUUUGUAUAUAGCUUCAGGCAAUGAACUACUCAUUGGGCAGAUUUGUGCAUAGCUUCGGGCCAUGAACUUUCAUUAUGUAAAUUUGUACAUAACUUCAGACUAUGAACAUUUAUUUAUUUAUUUAUUUUAUAGCUUCUAGCUAUAAUAUUGUUUGGUAUAACUUCUAGUUAUACCGUAUAAUUAAGGAUCGUAUACAUAACUUCUAGUAAUGUAUUUGUAAUGUUAUAAUUUUCCAUAUAACUUUUGGUUAUAGGGAUUGCACAUAUUUUUCAUAACUUCUGGUUAUGAAUUUACCCCAUAAUUUAUCCCAUAACUUCUAGUUAUAGGAAUUGCACAUAUUUUUUUCAUAACUUCUGGUUAUGAAUUUAUCCCAUAAUUUAUAAUUUAUCUCAUAACUUCUGGUUAUAGGAAUUGUACAUAUUUUUCAUAACUUCUGGUUAUGAAUGUACCCUAUAAUUUAUAAUUUACCUCAUAACUUCUGGUUAUAGAGAUUAUACAUAUUUAUGUAUUCAAAUAAAAUAUAUGAAAAUAGAGAUCAAAAGGUAAUAAAAUAGAAAAUCAUGAUAUAAGUUUAUCACAUACCUUUUUGUGAGAAAGAAGAGAGAAAGUCUUUCUAUUUGUCUGAAGGGAAAAACAUCUUUCUAUUUCUCUAAAGAGAAGAAAGUCUUUCUUAUUUCUUUUGUAGAGACUAUUCGUGCUGAUAAUGUGUUGUAAAAUUAUAAAGUGAAAGGAGAAGAAAAUAAGAAAGAGAAAUUAGAACGUAAGAAGAGAAUGAAAUAAUUUCAUUAGAGGUGUCUCCCUUUUAUAGGGAGUCAUAAAGAGAUAUACAUUAAAAUGGAUGAUCAUCCACAAGUUCCCAUAAUCCGAUAAAUUCUCAUAUUUAUAACACUAAUUACAUUUUUAUGAAGUUUUAUUUUAUUUUAUAUUUUUAUGAAUUUUGGUCAAUUUUAAGCUUAUCGAUAUUUUUUUCCAAAAUAUCCGCCGAUAUAUCUCCGAUAUAUCCGAUAUAUCUGUAAAAUCGAAGUACUGAUAUAUUCGUGAUUAUUGAUAUUUUCAUCAUUGACUCAAACACACUCUCAAUUUGGAGCUUUCUCGGGAUAAACUUUUGGGUCUUUCACCCUAGAGAUCUCACUCCUUUCUUAAUUUGCACUCUAUAUGUCCUUUCAUUUCUCAUUUUUAUUUUUAUUUUCUUUUCAUUUUUGCCCUCUUUAGGGUUUUUUCAUUCUUGUUUCCAUUUCACACAACCAUUUCUUCAAUUUUUUAUUUUUUAUUUUUAUUUUCCUUCACACAAUCAUGAUGCAUAUGAAGUGCAAUCAGCUUACAUGUUAUAGCAUCCACAAAUUUCUAGUACAUAAUUUUAUUUACUCCGAAUAUGCUCCAUGUUUUGCAACACUUAACACAACAAUUUUUUCUUCACUUUAAUCACCAUAAACAUCAAAAUAAUUCAUAAAUAAUUCCUAUAUCAUAAAAAAUAUAGUCUAAACACAAGUAAUAUAAAUUUCAUUUAUUCCUAACAUAAUAAUUUUCAAUAACCAACACAAUAAUUUUUCUUCCAUUAAAUCACCACAAACAUAAAAAAAAAAAAAAAUCAUAAAUAAUCCAUAAAUUACAAAAGAAAAUAAUCCUAAUAGUAACCAUAUUUCAAAUAACAUAAAGAAAAACCCAAAUAACACAUAUUCAUCUUCGAACAACCAAAUCCGUGAUUUUUUUUCAAGAAAAAUAUUGAAUAAAAGUUUUAGGGUUAAACCACCCUACCUUGAAUAAAAAAAUCUAACCGUUGAAACUAAAAUCAAACUCUAUAAAAAUGUUUCCCACAUCAAAUAAAGUAUUCUCCCAAAAUUUUACAUGAAAUGAAGUUCAUUUGAUAAGUCCAUUGGCGUCCCAAAGUCGGCGAUCCUAUUUCCCCCACUUUUAAACUCUGCUUCCCUAUCUUUAAUAAAUUAAACUAAUAUUAUUUAUUUCAUAUUCCAUAAUUAUAAAUUAUACUCAACUUAUCAUAUUCUUAAUUAAAUUUACUACAAGCCUGUUUUUUAGAAAAUAUAAUUUAACUUUAAUUACUUGAAGUAAUUUUACUUUGGAAUUCACUUAAGACAUGAUUCCAUUAACUAUUAAAAAAAAAAAUAUCAAUUUCAUAAAAUGUUCAAAACAUAAAAUAAUUCUUCGACAUCCAAAAAGUUGAAAUGGAUUAUAACCUUUAAUCCAUUAAGUUUACCAAUAUUUAUUUACCAACAAAAAUCUAAGCAAUAUUUUGAAACUUAAUUUCAUCAAUUAUUUAGUAAUUCAAUUUAUAAUAAUCAAAUUCUCAACCCUUCUAUAACUUUUAUUUAAUUUAUUUAAUUUGUUAAAUUCUUAAAUUGACUCUAACUUUUAAAAGUUAAAUUCACUAAAUUCACAUUUAAUUAAUUAAUCCUUUGUAUGUUUUUCUAAAUUCACAUAUCAUAAUUUAAUUUCGAUUCUAUUUGAUGUUUUUUCAUUUUAUAAGAUUUAAUUCUAAUUAUUAAAAUUAAAUUGAUUCAUUAUAAAAUUAAAUUCAAUUUCUUUUUAAUAAUCCAUUAUAAUAAUUCAUAUAAUAUAAAGUUUUACCAAUUUUUUCUCAUUACGAUUCUCUAAUAAUUUCCCAAUAAUAAUUAAAUUAAUUCUUACAAUAUACUUAAUAUUCAAAUUUUCAAAAUUUAAAAUCAAUUAUUUGAUGUUUAAAUUUUUCUACAAAUUUAAAUUUAGUUUUUAAAAUUCCUACUUUUUAAAUUUGAUGUGGCAAGAUUUAAUUUUCAAACUAUUGACUUUUGAUCAAUUUUUUUGUCAAAAUUGUUCUCAAUUAAAUAUUAAUAUGUGGAUCUUCAUAAUUCUUUUUGACUAUUUGACUAACAAUUUUAUGAAAACUUUUUUUAUCCCUAAAUUUGACAUGUCACUAAAAAUCCGAGUAUUACAAAUAUUAAUAUAAAAAAAAUUAAAUCAAAUAUAUGAGAAAUUAAACAUUAACUUAAAAUAUGGUAUAGAUAUUUUACUUAUUUAAUAGAUUAUGAAUUCAUUUUUAUUUUAAAAUAAUUUAUUUGGUUAAUUAUAAGUAUGUUAGAAUAUUUUAUUAAAUCAUUUUAAAAUAAAAAUAUAAUAAAAAAAAUUAAUGAGCAAAUUUAAUAUAAUAUAAUAAUAAAGUUGUAUAUAACGAUUAUAAAUAUUAUAUAUAUAUUAAUAUUAUAUGUUAUAAAAAAUUAAUAAUGUUAUUUCUAUAGCACAAGUGUAUUAUAUAAAAUUUUAAUUAUUAUUUUUUAUUAUCUUUCAAGUUUGUAAAAAUUCAAAAUUAAAAAAGAUUUUACAAAUUUCAUUUUUUUUAAAUAAUGUAAUUUAUUUUUAUCGACCAUGGUUUUCAAGAAGAAGAAAAAACAAUUAAAUGCAUUUUAAAAAAAUUAUUUUUAGAAAAUGAAAAUUUGAAAACCUUUACCAAACCAAAUACAAUAGUGCCUAGUUAUAUUAUUUGCUCUCUUUAUGUUGCCCUUAAAAUACCAAUGAGAAAUACAAAUCCCUUAAAAUAUAAAUGACACAAAAAUUGCACUUAACAACAUUUCAUUCUUGUUGUGUGUUUUUAUUUUCUAAAAAUCAUUUUAGAAAGCAGUUUUCAAGGAAUAAACCAAACGAUGGGAAUUGUUUUUUAAAACAAUUUUUUGUUCUCCAAAACAAAAAAUAUAGAAAAUAUGUUUGAUAACUAAAAACUAUUUUAUCUUUUCUUUUCUUAAGAAAAGAAAAUAGAAUAUUUUCAAAUAAUAUAUUUUUUAUUGUUUUCUAAUAUUUUAACUUAUUUUUUUAAUGAUUGUUUUAAGAAAUAAUUAUACAAAUAUAUAGAAUAAUUAAAAAUAAAAUACUAGAUAUAAAAAAAAAAUAUUUUUAAAACAUAUUUAAAAAUAUUAAAAAAAAAUUAAAAGUAUUUUAGUUUCCAAACAUACUUUUAUUUUAUAAAAAUCAAAGGAUAAUUAUCAAAAACCAUUUUCAAAGACUAUUUUUUAGAACUAUUUUCACAAAUAAUUACCAAAUUCGCCCUAAAAUUCUAAAGUAAUGCUAAGUGAUUCUAAAAUGGAUUUGCAGACCCGUUGCAACAUGAAGAGCACUGUACCUUUCAAGAAAGUAGUUAGGCAAAUUUAUUGUUUUCAAAUUUUUAAGUUUUUGUCACUUGACCAUCCCCUUGCUGUUGAUUUUGAUUUUGUUUUCAUUUUUGAAGUUCCAACUACCAAAGUGUGAAAUGGAAUGUGGGCCAUAGAAAAAUAAGUCAUGUUGCUGAUAACUAAUGUCCUUGGUUGACCAUUAUAAUCCUAUAUAAAUAAUUUUUUUAUUAUAUGGUAUGCUUUUAAUUAUAGCAGAAAUGCCACUUGUUCUAGUUAUAAAGUCAUAUAUAUAUAUAUAUAUAUAUAUAUAUAUAUAUAUAUAUAUAUAUAUAUAUAUAUAUUUGUUUUCAUUCCUUAAUUAAUUUUGUAUUGUGAUAUGAGAAUAUGACUUUUCCAUUGCAAGCUUUGUAAUUGUGAAUGAUAGGGACACUCCUCCAGUCAUUUGGCUUCAAAGGUAUUCAUAUUGACUUUCAAAUGAAAUUUGCUCCCUAAAACCUUAGUCUUCUUCCAAGUUGCUUUAACUCGGUCUUCUUAAUUUCUAUGGCUUAUGGCUUAUGGCUUAUAGCUUAGUUAAGUGGUAAUCUUAUGGCUUGAUGAUUUGAAAUUUUUGUAUUUCUUCAAAACUAAUCCAACCCUAAUUAAUGAGAUGAUCCCAUUUUUUUUUCAUAAAAAAAAACCCAUUUUAGACAAAUAUGUACGUCCUCAUAUUUUUCUUAUAAUAAUAACAUUUUCUUUUAAAACUCAUAUGUAAAUAAUUGAAAUAUUAAAAGAUAUUUAUAUAAAAAUUGGGUUACUUUUCAAAUUUAAAAAUGAUAGAUAUUAGUUUUACAAAUUGGGGAUCUUUUCAUCUUUUUUUAAUUAAUUAAUCCAAUUAAUAACUUAUAUUAGAGAAUUGUGUCAGCGGAGCAAAAAUAUGAAAGUUAGGCGUCGAUUUUGUAUCAUAUUAUGAUUACAUAUCUUUAUAAAAUUACGUACCAUUCCUAUUAAGAUUUUAUUAUGGAAAGAUAUUUUUUUAUAACUAUCUAGAAGGUACUAUCAAUGAGAUGAUGCCUUAUAUACACCAUCGAGUUUUCGUGACUUUACACUAAGAGUAUCAUUCAUUAUAGUCUUAUAGUUUGAUCUCAUUUAUCUAACUUAAAUUUUAUUUCCACUUUGAUUCAAUUUAAGUAAAAGGUUAGUAGAUACCGAAUUAGUAGCUUCGAUUUCUGACGUUAGAAACGAAAGCAAACUCCACUCACCAAAGUCUCCUCUCCGGCUAUUUAUUUAUCUUUGGCGCACAUAAUCAAUGCAUCUAUUUUAUAAAAAGAAAGUUAGAGAUUCUGCAUUCCACGUACACUAAAAUUAAACUUUCACUUUUGACUAUAUGGGGUUGUUGGGUCUGUAUUGGACUGUACAACACCAACCGAAUGUCAGCAUGACGAAACACCAAGAAAAGAGAGACAGUAUAAGGGUUAUAUGCUGUUCUAGAGAAUGUAUAUUUUUUUUUGCAGCAGGGAACUGGGGUGGGAAUGUCAACUGAAGCUCAAGAUUCACCCAUCCCCAUGUUGGACUUAUGUGAAUGGCUCAUCUGACUUCUUUUGACCUCAAAAGAAACCAGUAUUGUUGUUUAAUUCCAUGGCCCAAUAAGAAAUCCCAGAGAGAAAUUUCUUAGUUUUAUCCUUCUAGCGGUUGUUUGGUGUGAACAUUCUUCAGUUUCCAGUUGUUUGGUUUGCAAGGAAAUGGUUGGCAUUUAACCCGAUAUUGCCCAGAAAAAUCUUGACUGAUAACUUGGGUGCAAUAACUCAUUCGCCAAGCAUCUGGCUCUAAAGAAAAAUCAGUUCGGAUUCAGUCAGUUUUCCAAAAUUUUGUGGAUUAUUUGGUUAGAUUGCCAUUGAACUAUCUCCAUAGUUGAUAAGAAUUCUUAGGGCCCAGUCCUUGCCUCCUUGAGAGACCUACCUUGUCUCUAUCCUAUGUAUGUGUAAAAAACUAAAACUAAAAAAAAAAAAAAAAAAUGUCUACCUCAGAAAUAAUGGGUUGGACCUCUUUCACCUCUUGUAAGGUAGGUAAUUCUCUUUCAAAGUGCUCUCUAGAAGAAAGGGCUCCUUCCUAACUCCUUCCGCAGAAGACUUUUUGGAGUUGCUUUUCCCACAAGGGGACUCCCUCAAUUUCUCAACUUUUCCUCAUCUACAAAGGGUGUCAUUAGCUUGAAAGCUUUGGAAGUUUCCAAGUGACCCCAUUUUAAUAUCAAUUUUUUGAAAAAGGAGUGGGGGCUUGAAUUGCUUAGAAGAUUACAUGCGAAUAGAUUAGUUUUCAUUAGAUACAAAUUAAUAAAAGGUUAAGGGGAUAUGUUUCUCUCUUAAUAAUAAUAAAGUGGAAUAAUAAAAAAUAAUUUUAUUUUGAAUCAAAUAGACUGUCAAGUCCCAACUACUAUUUAUUUAAGGGACAAUUGUGUUUUUAACCUAUAUGGGAUUGAUAAUUAAGAUAAGGCUCUCCAACUACCCAUAAUUGAUUACAAUAAUAUAAAAUGGUAAUUGACAAAAAUAUCCUGUUAACUCAUUUUUGUUUUUAUUCUACCACUCUUUACAUGCCACUAUUAUUUCUUAUUUAACCAUUUUUUUAUUUUUCAUUAUUUUUUUAAACUCUUUUAUAAAUAAUUGAAAAAUCAACGUUAUUUUUUAUUUUUAAAUUAUAAAUAAACAAAAAUUAUAUUAAUGAUUCAAAGACUAUUUUGGAAAAUACUUUCUAAAAAAAUAUUAAUUUAAAUAAAUAAAAAUUAUCUUCUACAUUUAUUUUUAUCUUUUGCAUUUUAAAAGUAAAUAAUUUAAUGAUUAAAACAUUGUUUAAAAUAAAUAUAUUCACUAUUUUAAUUUCUUUUAUACUAAAAAUUAUUUUAAAGUUUUUUUUUUACUAUUAUAAAAUAAAAUGUUUAUUAUUAUUAUUUUUUUAAUUUUCUUCCUUCUUUAUUUUAAUAACUUUUUUAACAUGACUUUUAAUAAUAAGUUAUAUGAAAUGUUAUAAAUUUUUUUACUAAGGAAUUUUUUUUAAUGAUUUGAAUUAACUGAAAAUUUAUUAAAAUAAGAAAAAGAAAAAAGAAAGAAAGAGGAUGGAUGGAGAGUUUUUAUUUUAAAUACUCAAUCAAAAUGUUUUCAUAUGACUUAAUUUUAGAAGUGGAUUAUAUCAAUACAUAGUAGAGAUUAAAUUUUUCUUAUAUAAAAGAGUUGAAAGAUAUAUUUACUUAUUUUAGAUGAAAAAAAGUAGUUAAAAAUUAUAUAGAUUAUAUUUGAGUUUGGUUUUAAAAUAUUUUUCAAGUUUUUAUUUUUUAUUUUUAAAAAUAGUUUUUAUUUUCUAUAUUGUCUCUUUUUGAAAAUACGUUUAAUUAAAAAAUGAAAACUAUUUUUAAAAAUGAAAAUUGAAAACCUUGUUUAGUACUAUUUUUUUUUAUAUAGAAAAAAAUAAAUUUCAUUUAUUCAUUUAUUGUGCCACUAUACAAUUGUAUUACACUAACUGUAUAAGAGAAAUCUAUUAAGUGUACAAAGGUGUAUAAAACUACCCUUUAUGAAAUAUUACAAUUAAUUAUGAGUUAUUCCUUUAUUUUUCUUAUCACUCACGGAUUGUACACAUAUGUCAUGCACUUUAUUUAAUUCCCGCAUGGAAAUUCCAAUACUUUCCCUAAUAAUGAUAUUUGGGGAAAUUUUUUUUUACCUUAAGUCAUCCACCAUCUUCUCAACUAAACCAUUGGAAAUAUGGUUAAGCACUCAUACGAUAACACAUAACUUAGGAGGGAUAUGAAAUUUGUGUCAUUGUAUAAAGGUAUUACACUAACAGUACAAGGGAAAUAUACUAAUUGUACAAAGGUGUACAAGGUUACCCUUUGUGAAUGAUUUCAAUCAAUUCUAAACCAUUUUUUUAUUUUCCUUGUCAGCUAAGGAUUGUACACCUAUGUCAUGCAUUUUAUUUAACUCUCAUAUGAAAAUUCCAAUAUUUUCCCCAAUAAUGAUGUUUGGGGAAAAAAAAAUUGACCCUAAGUCAUCCACCAUUUUCUCAACCAAACCAUUGAAAAUAUGGUCAGUACACCUACAUGGACAUAUAAUUUAUGAGGGAUAUGAAAUUUAUGUCAUUGUACAAGGUUAUUACAUUAGUUGUAUAAGGGAAAUGUGUCAAGUGUACAAGACUCCUAAUAGGUUUUGCAUGAUUUUUAAACAACGUAAGUUUGACAUUAAGAUGAUUAUUGACAUUUUUUUUUUCUACCAAACUAUGUCAUUAAGAUAUUCCAUUAACACAUUGGAAAUAAAAUUAAAAUCAAUUAUGUUUGAAUUGUUCAUUAUAAAUAAAUUAAAUAAAAUAUAUAUUUUUACUAUUUUGCCUUUAUAAACAUAAUUUCAUUGUUAUCAAUAGAUAUUAAAAAAAAUCAUAUUUAAAUGAAAGUAAAAAUAAACAAAAAUUAUUUUUAUAACAUUUUUAUUUUUUUAAAUCAUUAAUUUAAAUGAUGAAAUUAGUUUUAAAAUAAAAAAUAUUUGUUGUAAUUAUAGUUUUGAAGAUUUCAUGAUCUUUAUCUUAUUACUUUGAAAAAAUUGCUUUAAUAAGAAAGUAUUUAUAUUAAUGGUUUUAAAUAUUUAAAACUUUAUUAAAAAAUAUUUAGGAUUAGUGUGGGGAGCAAUUAGGUAAUUUUGGAAUGGAGAAAUUUUGAAUAUUUUAAAUAUUUUAAUUAGGCCAAUUACCCGAUUUACACUUUCAAAAUUAUUGGAAGGUUGGUAAAUUAGUCUUAAAAAUAGUGUCUUCUUGAUUAAUAUUAUAAAAGGUUAAGGGGAUAUGUUUCUCUCUUAAUAAUAAUCAAGUGGAAUAAUAAAAAAAUAACUUUAUUUUGAAUCAAAUAGAAAGCCAAGUUCCAACUACAACUUGUUUAAACUAGAUUAGUAUCAUCAUAGCCAAUUCAUGAUGAGUAUGAGCCUUAGUCAACUCCUAGUAUAGCUGGAAAAAUCAGGUUAAAAGGCCAAGUUGGGGCUAGAAAAUUUUCGCCUAAAGAAAAGGGACUCAAAGUUGACUACUGGUUAGGUAUGGUUCCUUGUUCAGUGAGCAGAUAUAGCAGCAAAUAUCAGUAGUAGCAAAAUGGGAUUUUGUUAGAAAAUAAAGAACAUGUUAAAUGUUUGAAUUCCUAAGUAAAAUGGGAAAUAAUGAGCUUGGAUUGGAUUGUAUUUCUUUGAUUUUCAACCGCCCCGUUCAUGAAUACUGCACAUGUUUAGAUGGUGUGCUUUUACUUGUCUUUAUGCCUUCUAUAUAUACGCCACACGGGGCAGAACUCUCUCACCCCACCCCACCCCACCCCCUGGCCACUCCUCUCUCUCUCUCUCUCUCUCUCUCUCUCUCUCUCUCUUUGUGCUAUCAAAAUUUCAUUUAUGAGAAUCUGGCAUCAAGAGCAUGGCAAUGACUCAUAGCGCUCCUCUUUUUCUUAUUCAUAUCCUCUUCCUUGCUUUACUUCCUUUGAAAAUUACCACAUCACCCACAACAGAAGCAGAAGCUCUUAUCAAAUGGAAGAACAGCUUAAUUUCUUCUCCUCCUCUCAAUUCAUCAUGGUCCCUCACCAACAUUGGGAACCUCUGCAACUGGACAGGUAUUGCUUGUCAUAGCACCGGAAGCAUCUCUGUGAUAAAUCUCUCAGAGACACAGCUGGAGGGAACGCUUGCCCAGUUUGAUUUCGGUUCAUUCCCUAAUCUCACUGGCUUUAAUCUCAGCACCAAUUCCAAACUCAAUGGAUCCAUACCUUCUACGAUUUGCAACCUCUCUAAGCUCACUUUCUUGGACUUGAGUCACAACUUUUUUGAUGGCAACAUCACUUCAGAGAUUGGAGGGUUGACAGAGCUUCUGUAUCUCAGCUUUUACGACAACUAUUUCGUUGGUACCAUCCCCUACCAGAUUACCAAUCUUCAGAAGAUGUGGUACUUGGACCUUGGAUCCAACUACUUACAAUCUCCAGACUGGUCUAAGUUUUCGAGCAUGCCUCUGCUGACACGCCUGAGCUUCAACUACAAUGAACUUGCAUCAGAAUUCCCAGGGUUCAUAACUGAUUGCUGGAACUUGACAUACCUCGACUUGGCAGAUAAUCAACUGACUGGCGCAAUACCAGAGUCGGUAUUUGGCAAUCUGGGCAAGCUUGAAUUCCUCAGUCUCACUGACAAUUCAUUCCGGGGGCCAUUGUCAUCCAACAUUUCCAGGCUUUCCAAGCUCCAAAAACUUCGCUUAGGAACAAACCAAUUCAGUGGUCCAAUUCCUGAAGAAAUCGGUACGCUCUCUGAUCUUCAAAUGCUAGAAAUGUACAACAAUUCAUUUGAAGGGCAGAUUCCUUCUUCUAUAGGUCAGCUCAGAAAGCUUCAGAUACUCGAUCUCAAAAGCAAUGCCUUGAAUUCCUCAAUUCCAUCUGAGCUUGGCUCUUGUACUAAUCUCACAUUCUUGGCUGUAGCAGUAAACUCACUCUCAGGGGUGAUUCCUUUGUCCUUCACCAAUUUUAACAAGAUAUCUGCCUUGGGUUUGUCAGAUAAUUCAUUAUCUGGUGAGAUCUCACCUGAUUUCAUCACAAAUUGGACUGAAUUGACCUCUUUGCAAAUCCAGAACAAUAACUUCACUGGAAAAAUCCCAUCAGAGAUUGGCCUUUUGGAAAAGCUGAAUUACCUUUUCCUGUGUAAUAAUGGGUUCAACGGCUCAAUCCCAUCAGAGAUUGGGAACUUGAAAGAGUUGUUAAAACUAGACCUUUCAAAAAACCAGUUCUCGGGUCCAAUCCCUCCAGUAGAGUGGAAUCUCACAAAACUCGAACUCUUACAACUUUAUGAAAACAAUCUCAGUGGAACAGUUCCCCCAGAGAUUGGUAAUCUGACAUCAUUGAAGGUUCUUGAUCUCAGCACUAACAAAUUGCUUGGAGAGCUGCCAGAGACAUUGUCAAUCCUCAAUAAUCUAGAGAAACUCUCUGUGUUCACCAACAAUUUCUCAGGCACCAUUCCGAUUGAACUUGGGAAGAACAGCCUCAAGUUGAUGCAUGUCAGUUUUGCCAACAACAGCUUCUCAGGAGAAUUGCCUCCUGGAUUAUGUAAUGGCUUUGCUCUUCAACAUUUAACGGUAAAUGGAGGCAACAACUUCACAGGACCAUUGCCAGAUUGCUUGAGGAACUGCACGGGGCUAACUCGAGUCCGUCUUGAAGGGAACCAAUUCACUGGAGACAUUUCCAAGGCAUUUGGAGUUCAUCCAAGUCUCGUUUUCCUUUCUCUGAGUGGCAAUCGAUUUUCUGGUGAGCUUUCACCUGAGUGGGGGGAAUGUCAAAAGCUCACUAGCUUGCAGGUGGAUGGGAAUAAAAUUUCUGGAGUAAUCCCAGCGGAGCUUGGGAAGUUGUCACAACUGAGGGUUCUGAGCCUGGAUUCCAAUGAAUUGAGUGGGCAAAUUCCAGUGGCACUGGCGAAUUUAAGCCAAUUGUUCAACCUCAGCUUGGGUAAAAAUAAUCUGACAGGAGACAUCCCCCAGUUCAUAGGCACUUUAACUAAUCUCAAUUAUCUGAAUUUAGCAGGAAACAAUUUCAGUGGAAGCAUACCAAAAGAGCUGGGGAAUUGUGAGCGCUUGUUGAGCUUGAACUUGGGCAACAAUGAUUUGUCCGGUGAAAUACCUUCAGAGCUUGGAAACUUGUUGACCUUGCAGUACCUUUUGGAUCUCAGUAGCAAUUCGCUCUCUGGGACAAUCCCUUCAGACCUGGGGAAGCUUGCCUCAUUGGAGAACCUGAAUGUCUCACAUAAUCAUCUCACAGGGAGAAUCUCAUCAUUAUCAGGCAUGGUCAGUCUAAACUCCUCUGAUUUCUCAUACAAUGAACUGACAGGUUCAAUCCCAACUGGCGAUGUCUUCAAGCGGGCAAUUUAUACUGGAAACUCGGGUUUGUGUGGAGAUGCAGAAGGAUUAAGUCCUUGUUCUUCAAGUUCCCCAAGCAGCAAGUCAAACAAUAAAACCAAGAUUCUAAUUGCUGUCAUUGUUCCAGUCUGUGGCCUCUUAUUACUUGCAAUUGUUAUUGCUGCAAUUCUUAUACUUCGAGGACGAACUCAACACCAUGAUGAAGAGAUCGAUAGUCUAGAAAAGGAUCGGAGUGGCACGCCCUUGAUUUGGGAAAGACUGGGAAAAUUCACAUUUGGGGAUAUUGUGAAAGCCACUGAAGACUUCAGCGAUAAGUACUGUAUUGGAAAAGGAGGAUUUGGGACUGUUUACAAAGCGGUAUUACCAGAGGGUCAAAUUGUUGCGGUUAAAAGACUCCAUAUGUUAGACUCCAGCGACCUUCCAGCAACAAAUAGGCAGAGUUUUGAGAGUGAAACUGUCACUCUGAGAGAAGUUCGGCAUAGGAAUAUCAUUAAACUUCAUGGGUUCCAUUCCAGGAAUGGAUUCAUGUACUUAGUGUAUAACUACAUAGAGAGAGGUAGUUUGGGGAAAGCACUAUAUGGGGAGGAAGGGAAAGUGGAGCUGGGGUGGGCCACAAGAGUUACGAUUGUGCGGGGAGUGGCUCAUGCGCUUGCUUACUUACAUCAUGACUGCUCUCCGCCCAUUGUCCAUCGUGAUGUUACUCUGAACAAUAUCUUGCUGGAGUCAGAUUUUGAGCCACGGCUCUCAGACUUUGGCACAGCGAGAUUGUUGGACCCGAAUUCAUCCAACUGGACUGCAGUUGCAGGGUCUUAUGGCUACAUUGCCCCAGGUAAACUGAAGAUUAUUUUUAUCCAUUCUGUUUUAUAUUAGUUGAUCAGAAUGUGUUUUUAGGAAGCUCAUUUUGUUUUCUUGAUUUGCAGAGCUUGCACUUACAAUGAGGGUCACGGACAAGUGCGAUGUGUAUAGCUUUGGGGUGGUGGCAUUGGAAGUGAUGCUGGGAAGGCACCCAGGGGAGCUCCUACUUUCGCUGCAUUCUCCAGCAAUAUCUGAUGAUUCAGGGUUGUUCUUGAAGGACAUGCUAGAUCAGAGGCUCCCAGCUCCCACAGGCCGACUGGCAGAGGAAGUGGUGUUUGUGGUCACGAUAGCCUUGGCAUGCACGCGUGCCAAUCCUGAGUCACGCCCCACCAUGCGCUUCGUUGCACAAGAACUCUCUGCUCAAACCCAGGCUUGCCUAUCUGAGCCAUUCCACACUACAACCAUGGGCAAGCUAACAAGCUUUCAGAAGUAGGUCGAAUUGGUUUAACAUCCUUACAUUUAUAUUGUUCACAAUGGUUCAUGAACUCGAGUAGCUGAAUAGUGCUGUGUGUGCUACCUCUCAUGUAGCUGGGAUGACUUGUCCUAGUCAUCUAGGUCUUUAAGGUGGUAUAUGAUUGUGUAUGGUUACACAUUGAAAAUGACAAAUGAACAUGUCUAUUGCUAUUUGAGUGAUGUGUUCUUUUAAAUACUAUUUUUGUAGGAGUUUUUAACCUUGAGGGGUACUUGGGCUAGUGUUUGGCUUAGUGAUCAAUUUGAGUCACAUUGGAGUGAGACCCACAUAUAUAUAUUCUGAUGAUCUUGAGUGGUUGUUGAUUCAACAUGUAAACUGUGUAUACGUAAGAUGGACUUCAUAAUAUCUUGCUGAGGACAAUAUUUUUCUUUUUAGUAAUUCUAAGGUGCAUGAUUAAGGUAAAUCCUUGGUGAGGGUAAUUUUAUUUGAUUAUUGGAAUUGAUGUUUUAUCCUUCUAGGAUAUGGUAACAUCAAUUGUUUUAUCAUGACAAAUGUGAAUUUCUAACUCAAAGGCUAAAGAUGGAAUUUAUUAGUGGAUCACACAUACUAAUUGAAUCAUGAAUAUGAGUUCAUGGGAAACAAAUACAUUGAUUAGUAGUGUGUGGGACAACUAUUAACUUUAUGUAAUUAGAUGUAAUUAGUGAAGUGUAGUCAAAUGACUUUAAUGGAGUCAACCAUUGGUGGCCAUUGGUUGGAGCUUGAAGAGAGUGAAUAUAAGUAAGGAUUACCGAACCACUAUAAAACUUAAAUUUGCUUUUUCUAUCCCUUAUCUCUUUAUAUUCAUUACUCUAUAAUUGUCUAAAUUUAUUUUGUUUUCCAAAAGUUUUUAGAAACCCAAUUCAAUUCCUUCCUAGGUGAUUGUAUGAAUUAAUUAGCUUUCAAAUUCACACUAUAUAUAAAAUAAGCGAAAAUAUGAAAUAAUAUAUUUUAUUUCAUGUUUAAUUCACAAUCAAAUUUAAGUUAUCUCAUCACUUUCUAAAUUUUAAAUAUUUUAAUUAUGAAUAUUAUUAAUAAAGAAAUAAAAAAUUACACACUAAAUUAUAAUUCUAAAUAAUACCCGAUUGACAUGUGAGAUAUUUCAAUAUUCUUUAAUAAACUUUCAAUUAAACAAAUAUUACAUUUUCAUUCAAUUUUUUUUGAGAUAUCAUUUCCAUUAAAUAUAAUAUGCACGUAUAUUAUGUCUCACUAAAAUGAUAUUUUACCAUAUACAUAGUUAUUAAACAUGGCCUAAAAUUAUUUGAUAAGGAAAGACGAGACUAGUAAAGCUUUUUAAUAUGGCUGAAUCAAAGAUGAACAUAAAUUAGUAUUGGAGAAUUUAUUUUAUUUGAAGGCAUCAAAGAGGGAAGGAUAGAAAUUUCAUUAAAUUAAAAAGAAGUCCUCAGCCUAAAUUUGGUUGAUGGGAUAUAGUCAUGACUUUCCUUAUCAAAUAAUGUUCAGUUGAUAACUAUUUAUUAAAUUAGUUUUCUAUUUUUUAGAAAAAAAAAACUACGAUUAACCAAAAAGAAAAAAAGAAUACUUUAAUAUUCUUAAAAGUAGAAAACAUGUUGUUUUAAUAAAACAUCUUUAAUUUUCUUGAUUGUUUUCACUUGUUUUUUAAGGAUGAUUUGAAUAAAUAAUCAUACAAAUACGACAAACAAUUAACAAUAAAAUAUUACAUAUAAAAGUUAUUUUUAAAAUAUAUUUAAAAACAUAAAAAAUAUGUUACAUAUAUUUUAGAUUCUUAAAUAAAGUUUUAUUUUACAAAACAUAAAAUGAAAGAGAAUAAUUUUUAAAAAUUGUUUUUUAAAAAUAUUUUUGAAAACACUUACAGUAUAUAUAACCUUAGUAACUUAAUAGCACUCAAAGAUAAUGCAAGACAGACUAAGUUUACAUAAUUGGAUAAAAGACUACUUCCAAAAGUAGAAAAACCAAAACAAGUUUUGAAAACGAGCCCUCCAAAAUUGUUAGAUCUCAGCAAUAAUGAUUCAACAAAGAUAAAAUGAUCAAGCCUUAAGCUAGCGUGUGUGGGAAGCUUUGCUCCAUGUGUCCUUCCCAAGCUCAAGACCUUUUGGUUAUCCAAGGUAAAUAAAUAAUUCGUCUGGGAUCAAUCUGUCUGAUUCAAGUUAAGCUCUGUCUGGUGCAAGAGGAGAGAUAUAUUUCAUUCUUCCUCAAUGUUAAACAAAAUGGACAGACCAAGCUGACUAGGACUUCCAGAUAGACAAACCAACCCAACAGGAAAUUCCAAGCAUUGGACAAAUGAUUAAUCACACCCAAUGCUUGAGCAACAAUCUAGAUGGCAUUUACACGAAAAAACCAAUGUUAAUAAGUCGUUACACACAAUCAGCGACAUUGAAAAACGUAAAUGCACAGUCAACGAUAUGGUUCGAGAUUCUUGCACGACAACCAACAAAUGACACCAAUCAGCAACUCUUGUUUGGUAUGAUUGUCUAGUCUGCACUAAGAUGAUGGCGUUGAUUACCUUAUAAAGGCUUAGUAUUUGCCACGAUGACGAUCAUCAAUGCAAGAAAGGCAUGAAUGCACAAUCAACGCUAUGAGAAUGACGUCAUAUGUUCUAUAAAAACCACUCGAGAAGCAUGAAAAAGAUACACGCAUGUAUAGCCAUUCAAAACAGUUGGAUUCACUCUUACUAGAUUCUGACUUAAGUUUUGGAAAGGCGUGCCUAGACCACCUGUCUAGACAUCCUUUUGUGUAGGGAAGAAGUUCGACUGACUCCAAUGAAGCUAGACAAACCUAUAUCUAGUUGACACAACACCAACAUUGGUGUCGUUUGUGGGAACCAACUAAGAAUGUCAACACCCUCUAGAAACCAAUCAUUAGCUAUGGGUGACAAAGAUUGUUUUGUCUGGUGCAAAAGGAUGAAGAGAUGCCAACAAGAAAAUGAGUGGUGGAUGUAGACUUUGCUUUGCCAAAUAGAAUGACUAAGAAAAAAGAACAAAGAAUUAUGGGCUAAAAUGUCAACAAUAGGCAUUUUUUAAAGUCGGCACACUCAAAACCGACAAACAGCCUCAAAACAAACUAUUGAGGCAUCUUUCCUCGGGGGCACAUAGUUCUCAUCCGACAGCUACUCAAGACGAUCCUAUGAGGAGCCUUCACCAACUCGUCAAAACUAGUCGACAAAGGCACCAACUUCACUUGGGCAUCAAGGAAAAAAAGAUGCAGUAGAGGGUCACAUUUAUCUGACGCGAUGCGAGUCCGACUAGGACCUCAAGCACCAAGCAUGGAGGGAUAACAACGUAUGUUAGAGACCUUAAGGGCAUGUCUAGGUCAGCUAGCCAUAACAAAUACAUCUGGAUGACCCUCUCAACUACCAAAGUAGCAGCAGGCGAACAUAUUGGUGACGCGAGCCCCACCUUACUCUAUCAGCCGACGGUUGGAUGACAUACUCACCACACCAUUCAACCCCCAUAUCAUUAACUACGAGCAGCCUAGAGGGUUCAUAGUGCCCAAGUUCAUAAUGUACAACAUAAAGAGUGACCCAUUUGACCACACCAUGCACUUCAAGAAGCUUAUGACCCUUGGCAUAGGAAUGAUGCAUUGAUGUGCAAGGUCUCUACAACCAGCCUACAUGGUCAAGCUCUCUCUUGGUUCCAUCAUCUCCCGUAGAAUUUCAUGAACACUUUUCGGGAUGUCUCAGAUGUCUUUUUAGGCCAUUUCCUAUGUUCUACUCACCAAAAGCAUAACAUAAGCACCCUACGGAACAUCAAGUUGCAGGAAAAUGAAAUGCUAAGGUACUUCAUGAAGCGAUUUGGGCAAAUAGUGCUCCAAGUUGAAUCCUGUAGUAUGGACGCCAUUUUUCAAGUGAAGUAUUAGCCCGGGCACACCAUUUUUUGAGUCUCUUGAGAAGAAGCCGAUUACAAUGAUGGAUAUCCUAUUUAGUUUAGUGGACAAGUAUUCUAUACUCGAAGAUGAUGUCCAAGAAGCCUUUCAACAAGUCUUGGUCACUAAUCAUCCGACCAAGAAUGAUAAAGCGGGGAGUUCUAAGCCCUCGAACCAAUUGAGGCAAUGUAACAAGAGGUGAGAUGACCAACAAUAGCAACAAGUGAGACUCACCCUUCUAAGCAUUUCCUAUGAGAGACUCCUCCCACAGAUUUGGCUAGACAGGACUGAAACAAAAGGUGCUCCUACCAUAAGGAUCAUGGUCAUACCACCGAACAAUGCAAGAGUUUGUAUUACUUGGUGAAGAAACUUAUUAAGAUCGAGAACCUUAAGUAGUACGUUCGCACAACCAACGGGCAAAGAGAUAUGACACUAGAGGUAACUGUCUAAGCCUUUGCAUCUUUGGAAGCUUCCAGAGUUGUCAUUAACUAUAUACACGGAGGUCCAAUAGCCGAUAAACACUACUUUAGACAGCAAAGGUGAAGGUUGCUUCACGUGGCUUCUAUAAGAGAACAUAUUAACUUUGUUCAAUGCACCUUCGCAGAAGGAAGUGUGCAUCCAGUAGACAGCAUAAUCACCUUCUUUCCAUUGGAUGUUGUAAUCGCAUGAAGAUGCCUUGAUCCUAACAUUGGGGGUAAGUGGAUUUGACGUGUGGAAAAUCCUAGUUGAUCCGAGCAGUUUAACUAACCUUUCUCAAAUGUCGAACUAUAGGCAAAUGGGCUACUCGUCAUCUGUCAUAGAAAAUCCAGGACGUCUGUUGUCUGGAUUCAAUGAAGCUACAACAACCUCUUUGUGCGAUGUUGUGUUGUCCGUUCAAGUUGGCUCGGUCACAUUGGGCAUGCAGUUCUCGGUGGUUGACGAUUUGUCUCUAUACAAUGCCAUUAUGGGAUGUGCAUGGCUUCACAAAAUGAAAGUCAUUCCUUCUAUAUACCAUCAAAUGGUGAGCUACCUCAUAGAAUAUGGACAAGUUGAUCUCCUUGACAACCAGCUAGCCGCGCGACAAUGCUAUUAGGUGGUGCUAGAAUCCGAAUAUUCGACUGAUAAAUAGGCGCAUUCAAACCCAUCAACUACAAGGAAGCAAUAGCAGUUACUAAGUCUAGCCGAAAAAGAUCCAUCUACGAUUGAACUCCAGCCACUGCUCAUCUAGCAUGGCACAAAUCAAAUCACCUAUACCAGUUCCCUGUUUGUGCAAGAUGAACUAGAACUGCUAAGAAAUAUGUUUUAGCGCAAUAAGAACAUAUUUGCUUAUACUCACUCGAACAUGCCGGAAAUCCAUCCGGUCAUGGCCUCCCACAAGCUUAACGUCUCACCCACCUCGCGACCUAUCCGACAAAAGAUCCAACAUUUUCAUCCGAACAGAAAAAAAAUCAUCCAGAUAGAAAUUGAAAAACUAUUGGUAGUUAGAUUCAUCAGAAAAUUCAAAUAUCUGGAUUGAUUGACGAACGUGGUGGUAGUCCCAAAGAAAUAUGGAAGGUAGCGAGUCUGCGUUGAUUACACUAACCUGAAUGACGUCUACCCAAAUAAUUGCUUUUUCUUGCCCCGAAUAGAUCAAAUAGUUGAUGCCACCAUCGGACAUGGGAUGCUCUCCUUUCUAGACGUCUGUUUUGGAUACCACCAAAUCCCUAUGUUUUAGCUAGACGAGGAGAAAAAAACCUUUGUCACACCACAAGGGUUGUAUUGUUACAAAAUCAUGUUGUUUGGACUCAAGAAUGCUGACGCUACUUACCAGAGACUAAUGAAAAAAUAUUCAAGCCCCUGAUCGGCCGAACGGUGGAAGUCUACAUUGAUGACAUUGUUGUAAAGAGCGAAACCCAAGUUGAGCACAACCAACACCUAGAAGAAGGAUUCCGUCUGUUGCGGGCAUACAACAUGAAGCUCAAUCCCACUAAAUGUGCCUUUGGCGUCAAUGCAAGGAAGUUUCCAAGGUUUAUGGUAACCCAAAGAGGAUUUGAAGUUAAUUAAGCUCAAGUGAAAGUCGUCAUCGAAACACUCUCUACAAACAGUAAAAGGAAUUGCAACGUCUCACAGGUCGUCUCGCAGAUUUGGGUCAUUUCAUAGCUUGUUUCAUAGAUAAGUUAAGACAUUUCUUCCUCACACUUAAAGGGGUAAGCACGUUCGAUUGGAUAGACGAGUGUAAGUAGACAUUUCAAGUAGUCAAGUGUUAUCACUAAACCGCCCAUUUUAAGCCCCAAGUUCGACGAAUAACUCUACAUGUAUUUGGCCCUAUCUGACUGCGUUGUCAAUGUCGUCCUAUUUAUGUAUAUACGAGAUAGAGAGUAGAGACCCAUCUAUCAUGUGAGAAAAGCAAUGGUGGAUACUAAGACUCGGUAUUCCCAAGUAGAGCAAACUGAUUUAGCACUAUAGAGUGUUACUCGAAAGCUCCGCCAUACUUUCAGACUCAUCAAGUGACCAUACUUACAAACCGGCCGCUCUGAGUCACUUUGCACAAGUCAGACCUAUCUGGAUGAAUGUUCAAAUAGGCAAUCAAGUUGAGUAUGGGAUCGAGUAUCAAUCGCGGUUAUCCUUAAAGGGGCAAGUAAUAGUUGACUUCAUAGUUGAACUCCCUAAAAAAAAACACAUUUGGCCGACCACUUUGGAGAGCAAUGGUAGACACUUCAUGUAGACGGAUCGUCUAAGGUGUUUGGAUCCGGAGUAGGUCUGGUCCUGCAAUCACCAACCAUGGAACUAAUAGAGCAAGUUAUUCGUCUCAGCUUCUCGACUUCCAACAACGAGACAUAAUAUAAAGCUAUGCUAGCUGGGCUAGAUCUUGCCCUUAUGUUAGUUGCAACCAAGUUGGAAAUCAAGAGCGACUCUCAGCUAAUUGUUGAGCAGAUUCAACAAGACUACAAAGCAAAAGAUGAAUGUAUGACCCAAUACCUCGCCAUGGUGGAAGAACACUUGAAAAAGCUAAACGAUUGGAUCAUUAGACCGACACCACAAGAAGAGAACGGAAAAGCCGAUGCAUUGGUCAGAAUAGUUGCCACUCUUCCUAUAAAUGAGACGAUAAUGUUGCCCAUCUACCUCAAAGUCAUGCCUUCAAUCACUUUAGAGUCAGUAUGCAAUACCAAUGAAGAAGACUCAAGAUGGAUGCUCGACAUCAUAAAAUACCUCUAGACAGGAGAAGUACCAAAAGACGGGAAGUAAGCACAUAAACUUCGCAUACAAGUAGUACCCUUUACUUUAAUUAAUGAUCAACUUUAUUAAUGAUCAUUCGAAAGCCCAUACCUAAAGUGUUUGAGUGAGUUAGAGACCAAAUAUGUCUUAGUUGAAUUCCAUGAGGGCGUAUGUGACAAUUACCCAGAUGGAUACCACGCUUACACGCAAGGAUACUAUUAACCCCCAUGAAGCAAGACGCUAAAAGGUAUGUCAAAAAAAUGCAAUCAAUGUCAAUCACACGCUCCUAUUCCUCGUGUACCUUUGGAAGCCCUCAACCUGGUCACAAGUCCUUGGCCAUUUGUGUAGUGGGGGUGGACAUAGUCGGCCCCUUACCCACUGGAGCAGCAUAAAAGAUGUUUCUACUUGUUGCAACUAACUACUUCAGCAAAUGGGUAAAGGCAGAAGCCUAUGUCAGUAUCAAAGACAAAGAUGUCUCCAAGUUCAUCUGGAAAAACAUCGUAUGUCGAUUCAGAAUUCCACGAGCAAUCAUAACGAAUAAUGGACCCCAGUUUGACAACGCCGUCUUUCGAACAUUUUGCUCAAAGCUAGACAUCAAGAAUUUGUACUCAACACCCUUGUUAUCCACAAAGCAACAGAUAAGUAGAGGAGACAAACAAAACCCUAUUGAAUGCAUUAAAAAAAAUGUUGGAAUGAGCGAAAGGAAAAUGGGUAGAUGAGUUGCUCGGAGUUGUAUAGGCUUACCGAAUAACAUCCAGAUGGUCAACAUGAGCUACUCCUUUCACCCUUACUUAUCAGAUGGAAGCCAUCAAUCCAAUCGAAAUUGGCAUGCCUACUGCCAAAACAGCUAUGGAAGGUCAAAGGGACGACGAUGAAGAACUCAUAUGACAAUUGGAUUAAGCUGACGAAAAGUGAGGAAAUGUAGCUAUCUGGAUGGCUUCUUACUAUCAGAGGACAAUUGCUCAGUACAGCAAAAGAGCAUGACCACUGUUUUUCCAACCAAGAUCUUUAGUUCUCAGAAGAGCCUUCAAAAACACAAUUAAAGUGGGAGUCAGAAAGCUACAACUUGAAGUAAUUUUACUUUGAAAUUCACUUAAGACACGAUACCAUUAACUAUUAAAAAAAAAAAUCAAUUUCAUAAAAUCUUCAAAACAUAAAAUAAUUCUUCGACAUCCAAAAAGUUGAAAUUCAUUAUAACCUUUAAUUCGUUAAUUUUACCAACAUUUAUUUACCAACAAAAAUCUAAACAAUAUUUUGAAACUUAAUUUCACCAAUUAUUUAGUAAUUAAAUUUAUAAUAAUCAAAUUCUCAACCCUUCUAUAACUUUUAUUUAAUUUACUUUAUUUGUCAAAUUCUUGAAUUGAAUCAAACUUUUAAAAAUUAAAUUCACUAAAUUCACAUUUAAUUAAUUUAUCCUUUUGUAUGCUUUUCUAAAUUCAUAUAUCAUAAUUUAAUCUUAAAUUAAUUUCAAUUCUAUUUGAUGUUAUAUCAUUUUAUAAGAUUUAAUUCCAAUUAUAAAAAUUAAACUGAUUCAUUAUAAAAUUAAAUUCAAUUUCUUUUUAACAAUCCAUUCUGACAAUUCAUAUAAUAUAAAUUUUUACCAAGUUUUUCUCAUUACGAUUCUCCGACAAUUACCCAAUAAUAAUUAAAUUAAUUCUUACAAUAUACUUAAUAUUCAAAUUUUCAAAAUUUAAUAUCAAUUAUUUGAUGUUUAAAUUUUUCCCCUAAUUUAAAUUUAGUUUUUAAAAUUCCUACUUUUUAAAUUUGAUGUGGCAAGAUUUUCAAACUAUUGAUUUUUGAUCAAUUUUUUUCUCAAAAUUUUUCCUAAUUAAAUAUUAACACGUGCAUCUUCACAAUUCUUUUUGACCAUUUGACUAACAAUUUAAUGAAAACUUUUUUUAUCCCUAAAUCUGACAUGUCAUUAAAAAACGCGAGUAUUACAAAUAUUAAUAUAAAAAAAGAUUAAAACAAAUAUAUGAGAAAUUAAACAUUAACUUAAGAAUAUGGUAUAGAUAUUUUACUUAUUUAAUAGAUUAUGAAUUAUUAUAGAUGAAUUCAUUUUUAUAUUAAAAUAAUUUAUUUGGUUAAUUAUAAGUAUGUUAGAAUAUUUUAUUAAAUCAUUUUAAAAUAAAAAUAUAAUAAAAAAAUUAAUGAGCAAAUGUAAUAUAAUAUAAUAAUAAAGAUUAAUUUUUUAUAAUGUAUAUUAUAUAUAUAUAUAUAUAUAUAUAUAUAUAUAUAUAUAUAUAUAUAUAUAUUAUACAUUAUAAAAAAUUAAUAAUGUUAUUUCUAUAGCACAAGUGUAUUAUUUAAACUUUUAAUUAUUAUUUUUUAUUAUCUUUCAAGUUAGUAAAAAUUCAAAUUAAAAAAGAUUUUACAAAUUUCACUUUUUUUAAAUAAUGUUAAUUUUUUUUUAUCGACCAUGGUUUUCAAGAAGAAAAAAAAAAGACAAUUAAAUACAUUUAAAAUAAAUAAAUUUAAAGUUCCAAAAAAAAAUAAAAAAAUAAAAUUUAUUUUUAGAAAAUGAAAUUUUCAAAACCUUUACCAAACUAAAUACAAUAGUGACUAAUUAUAUUAUCCGCGCUCCCUAUGUUGCCCUUAAAGUACUAAUGAGAAAUACAAAUCCCUUACAAUAUAAAUGACAUGGGAAUUGCACUUGAUAACAUUUCAUUCAUAUUGUGUGUUUUUAUUUUCUAAAAAUCAUUUUAGAAAGCAGUUUUCAAGGAAUAAAACCAAACACUAAGGGUGGGAAUUGUUUUUUAAAACAAUUUUUUGUUCUCCUAAACAAAAAAUAUAGAAAAUAUGUUCGAUAACCAAAAACUAUUUUUUUUUUAAGAUAAAAAAUAAAAUAGGAUAUUUUCAAAUAAUAUAUUUUUAUUAUUUUAUAUUAUUUUAACUUGUUUUCUAAUGAUUGAUUUAAGAAAUAAUUAUAUAAAUAUAUAGAAUAAUUAAAAAUAAAAUACUAGAUAUAAAACUUAUUUUUAAAACUUAUUUUAAAAUUUUAAAAAUAGGAUAAAAGUAUUUUUGAUUUCUAAACAUACUUUUAUUUUAUGAAAAUCAAAGGAUAAUUCUCAAAAACUAUUGUCAAAUAUUAUUUUUUAAAACUAUUUUCAUAAAUAAUUACGAAACUCGCCCUAAAAUUCUAAAGUAAUGCUAGGUGUUUCUAAAAUGGAUUUGCAAACCCGUGGCAACAUUAAGCGCAUUGUACCUUUCAAGAAAGUAGUUAGGCAAAUUUAUUGUUUUCAAAUUAUAAGUUUUUGUCACUUGACCAUCCCCUUGCUGUUGAUUUUGAUUUUGUUUUUAUUUUUGAAGUUCCAACUACCAAAGUGUGAAAUGGAAUGUGGGCCAUAGAAAAAUAAGUCAUGUUGCUGGUAACUAAUGUACUUGGUUGACCAUUAUAGUCCUAUAUAAAUAACUUUUUAUUUUUAUUUUUUAUAUGGUAUGCUUUUAAUUAUAGCAGAAAUGCCACUUGUUCUAGUUAUAAAGUCAUAUAUAUAUAUAUAUAUAUAUAUAUAUUUGUUUUCAUUGCUUAAUUAAUUUUGUAUUGUGAUAUGAGGAUAUGACUUUUCCUUUGCAAGCUUUGUAAUUGUGAAUGAUAGGGACACUCCUUGUGUCAUUUGGUUUCAAAGGGAUUCAUAUUGACUUUCAAAUGAAAUUUGCUCCCUAAAACCUCAUUCUUCUUCCAAGUUGCUUUAACUCGGUCUUCUUAAUUUCUAUGGCUUAUGGCUUAUAGCUUAGUUAAGUGGUAAUCUUAUGUCUUGAUGAUUUGAAAUUUUUGUAUUUCUUCAAAACUAAUCCAACUCUAAUUAAUGGGAUGAUCCAAUUUUUUUUUCAUAAAAAAAAAAAACACAUUUUAGACAAAUAUGUCCUCAUAUUUUUCUUCCAAUAAUAACAUUUUUUUUUUUUAAACUCACAUGUAAAUAGUCGAAAUGUUGAAAGAUAUUUAUAUAAAAAUUGGGUUACUCUUCAAAUUUAAAAAUGAUAAAUAUUAGUUUUACAAAUUGGAGAUCUUUUCAUCUUUUUUUAAUCAAUUAAUCCAAUUAAUAACUUAUAUUAGAGAAUUGUAUCACCAGAGCAAAAGUAUGAAAGUUAGGUGUCACUUUUGUAUCAUAUUAUGAUUCCAUAUCUUUAUAGAAGUACAUACCAUCCCUAUUAAGGUUUUAUUAUAGAAAGAUAUUUUUUUAUAACUAUCUAAAAGGUACUAUCAAUGAGAUGAUGCCAUAUAGACACAAUCGAGUUUUCAUGACUUUACACUAAGAGUAUCAUUCAUUAUAAUCUUAUAGUUUGAUCUCAUUUAUCUAACUUAAAUUUGAUUUCCACUUUGAUUCAAUUUAAGUAAAAGGUUAGUAGAUACCGAAUUAGUAGCUUCGAUUUCUGACUUUAGAAACGAAAGCAAACUCCACUCACCAACCAGUAUUGUUGUUUGAUUCCCUGCUCCAAUAAGAAAUCCCAGAGGGAAAUUUCUUAGUUUUAUCCUUGUAGUGUUGUUUGGUGUGAACAUUCUUCAGUUUCCAGUUGUUUGGUUUGCAAGGAAAUGGUUGGCAUUUAACCCGAUAUUGCCCAGAAAAAUCUUGACUGAUAACUUGGGUGCAGUAACCCAUUUGCCAAGCAUCUGGCUCUAAAGAAAAAUCAGUUCGGAUUCAGUCAGUUUUCCGAAAUUUUGUGGAUUAUUUGGUUAGAUUGCCAUUGAAAUAUCUCCAUAGUCGAUAAGAACUCUUAGGGUCCAGUCCUUGCCUCCUUGAGAGACCUACCUUGUCUCUAUCCUAUUUAUGUGUAAAAAACUAAAAAAAAAAAAAAAAAUUCUACCUCAGAAAUAAUGGGUUGGACCCCUUUCACCUCUUGUAAGGUAGUUAAUUCUCUUUCAAAGUGCUCUCUAGAAGAAAGGGCUCCUUCCUAACUCCUUCCGCAGAAGACUUUUUGGAGUUGCUUUUCCCACAAGGGGACUCCCUCAAUUUCUCAACUUUUCCUCAUCUACAAAGGGUGUCAUUAGUUUGAAAGCUUUGGAAGUUUCCAAGUGACCCCAUUUUAAUAUCAAUUUUUUGAAAAAGGAGUGGGGGCAUGAAUUGCUUAGAAGAUUACAUGCGAAGAGAUUAGUUUUCUCUCUCUUAAUAAUAAUCAAGUGAAAUAAUAAAAAAUAACUUUAUUUUGAAUCAAAUAGACAGCCAAGUUCCAACUACUCCUUGUUUAAACUAGAUUAGUAUCAUCAUAGCCAAUUCAUGAUGAGUAUGAGCCUUGGUCAACUCCGAGUGUAGCUGGAAAAAUCAGGUUAAAAGGCCAAGUUGGGGCUAUAAAAUUUUCGCAGUUGAAUACUGGUUAAGUAUGGUUCCUUGUUCAGUGAGCAGAUAUCGCAGCAAAUAUCAGUCGUAGCAAAAUGGGAUUUUGUUAGAAAAUAAAGAACAUGUUAAAUGUUCGAAUUCCCAAGUAAAAUGGGAAAUAAUGAGCUUGGAUUGGAUGUAGCCCAUGUCGUAUUUCUUUGACUUUCAACCGCCCCGUUCAUGAAUACUUUCGGAUGUUUAGAUGGUGUGCUUUUACUUGUACUUAUGCCUUCUAUAUACGCAACACGGGGCAGAACUCUCUCUCUUUUCCCCCACCCCAGCCCCCAGCCCCCGGCCACUCCUCUCUCUCUCUCUCUUUGUGCUAUCAAGAUUUCAUUGAUGAGAAUCUGGCAUCAAGAGCAUGGCAAUGAUUCAUAGCGCUCCUCUUUUUCUUAUUCAUAUCCUCUCCCUUGCUUUACUUCCUUUGAAAAUCACCACAUCACCCACAACAGAAGCAGAAGCUCUUAUCAAAUGGAAGAACAGUUUAAUUUCUUCUUCUCCUCUCAAUUCAUCGUGGUCCCUCACCAACAUUGGGAACCUCUGCAACUGGACAGGUAUUGCUUGUGAUACCACCGGAAGCGUCACUGUGAUAAAUCUCUCAGAGACAGAGCUGGAGGGAACGCUUGCCCAGUUUGAUUUCGGUUCAUUCCCUAAUCUCACUGGCUUCAAUCUCAGCAGCAAUUCCAAACUCAAUGGAUCCAUACCUUCUACGAUUUACAACCUCUCUAAGCUCACUUUCUUGGACUUGAGCCACAACUUUUUUGAUGGCAACAUCACUUCAGAGAUUGGAGGGUUGACAGAGCUUCUGUAUCUCAGCUUUUACGACAACUAUCUCGUUGGUACCAUCCCCUACCAGAUUACCAAUCUUCAGAAGAUGUGGUACUUGGACCUUGGAUCCAACUACUUACAAUCUCCAGACUGGUCGAAGUUUUCGAGCAUGCCUCUGUUGACACGACUGAGCUUCAACUACAAUGAACUUGUAUCAGAAUUCCCGGGGUUCAUAACUGAUUGCCGGAACCUGACAUACCUCGACUUAGCACAGAAUCAAUUGACUGGCGCAAUACCAGAGUCGGUAUUUAGCAAUCUGGGCAAGCUUGAAUUCCUCAAUUUCACUGACAAUUCAUUCCAGGGGCCAUUGUCAUCCAACAUUUCCAGGCUUUCCAAGCUCCAAAACCUUCGCCUAGGAAGAAACCAAUUCAGUGGUUCAAUUCCUGAAGAAAUCGGUACGCUCUCUGAUCUUGAAAUAUUAGAAAUGUACAACAAUUCAUUUGAAGGGCAGAUUCCUUCUUCUAUAGGUCAGCUCAGAAAGCUUCAGAUACUCGAUAUCCAAAGAAAUGCCCUGAAUUCUAAAAUUCCAUCUGAGCUUGGCUCUUGUACUAAUCUCACCUUCUUAUCUCUAGCUGUGAACUCACUAUACGGGGUGAUUCCUUCUUCCUUCACCAAUCUUAACAAGAUAUCCGAGUUGGGUUUGUCAGACAAUUUUUUAUCUGGUGAGAUCUCACCUUAUU